RNAcentral lists this long non-coding RNA (66646 nucleotides) under Capsicum annuum. RNAcentral describes it as "long non-coding RNA (CANN_LNC003004)". The stretch from base 11363 to 11434 matches the Rfam family "tRNA". The record is from RNAcentral. Lineage: Eukaryota; Viridiplantae; Streptophyta; Magnoliopsida; Solanales; Solanaceae.
CCCACAUACCUUGAAUGAUGAACUUUAGAUCGAUACUCAUUGUUUAGAUGUUAAUCGUGCCUUUGAAUAAUGGUUCUUGGAGUUCUUGAACUAGGUGCUUGGAAUCUUGAAUAAAUUUGCAGAAUUAAUGAUGAACUUUGGAGGUUCUUGAAGUUAGAUGUAGGAGCUUAGGGUUUUAUUUUUGAGGGAUUUUGAUGAAAUAUAACAUAUAAUGCUUCUAAUAGGCUUUAAUAUAGGGUUUGGACAGAUUUUGGGUGAGGGGGAAUGACCAAAACGCCCCUAAAAAUAAAAAAAAAAUUUGAAUCCAUCCUUUGGUGGACUGUUUUGAUAGUCUUAAGUAGAUCAACCAUAACUUUUUACUCCGAUAUUCAAAUUGGAUGAAACCAAUUUCAUUAGAAAGAGAACUCGCAGAGCUUUCCGUUGAUAUAUAGUAGAUCACCCAGAUCAUUAUGUACAAAGAGUUAUAAUCGUUUAAAGUUGGAGCAAAAAUACGCCAGGCCUCAGUACUUUUUCCUGCACAUUUUACUGUUCACUACUAUUCAUGGUUCGAUCGAAAUGUUCAUAACUCGUCGCUCGGGUGUCCGUUUUGGAUGAUCCACAUAUCGUUGGAAAUCUUAUUCGAUAAUAUACGCAAUGGUGGGUCAUAAUCUAAGACAUUUAGCAUGAAAAAUUUAUAAUUCAUUUUAGAAGAUAGAACCCAACAUGUUUACGCACAAAAUUUCAACGAAAAAUUUUUCGGGGUAUUACAUGUAGCCCGUGGGUGCCUGUUAUAACAGUUGAGCUACAUAGUCUAGGAUAAUAUUUUACUUCAUGCUAAGCCUUGUUCCCGAUCCCGGCAUAUUAUUUAUACAUGUAUAUGAUAUUGAUUAUAUGGUUUUGAAUUGGAUUUGAUUUGAUAUUAUUUUGUCCCCUAUUCCUGAGUUAUAUGCUAGUGUUCACUCCACUAACCAUCUUCGGAUGUUGUAUCCCACUUCAUGCAGGCACCGAAGAUACUUCUAUUUUUUUUAUAUAGAGUUAGGUUGAUUAGCUCAAUUCGUCAGUUCGUUGUGGUGAAGUUGUGAGCUUGCAUUAUCCGGAAGACUUGGACAUUUCAUCAGCUUCUUUUCAUAGACUAGAACUAAGAGUUCACUUUAUCAUUAACAUUAUCAUUGUCAUUGUAAUUGUCAGAGUCGAGGCCAUGUCUCGAACAAGAUCUGUUUUCGACUUUUGCUUAGAGGCUUUGUGGAUAACACUGUGGAUUGGGUGUUGGUAAAGACACUCUUAAAUAUCUUGAAUUAUUAUUUUUCUAUCUUAUUAUAUGUUCAGAAUUCAGUUGUUGUGUUAUGAUCUAAUUGGCUAGGUAAAGGGGUGGUCUCCGAUCCUCGGUGGACUUGAGAUACCCAUCACAUCCAGGCCCUGGUUCGGGUCGUGACAACUUUCAUCCUCACUUCCCUAGUUACCUCAUUUUUAAUAUCCAUCAUCAUAGUAGGGAAAUCCCCUUUCAGAUCUACUAACACUUUGACCCUUGCUCAACUUGGUCUACUUUAUUAAUAGUAGCUAGAUCCAAAUGAACAGGUUUACCUACUGUUGGUGCUAAAGAAAAAAGGCAUCCUUUAACAAUAGGUGGUUAACAAGUUAGGAAAAGAUAUCCAAGAUAAUGUCUUUGUGGUUUAUUCACUCAUCUUAAAUUGUGCAUCAUAAAUGAGAGUGUACGAUACGAUACGAAUAUCUGUCUUUGCACGCAAUAUAGAAAGAUCCUCUUGAUGUAAGAUUUAUGAAGUCAGCAUGUUAUGUAAGGUGUAUGAAAACAUGCUUGUUACGGAACAAUCCAAUUUUACAAUCACCCUUAAUAUCACAUUGUUGUAAGACAAUCUUUCUCAAUUUCUCUAGAUUUGUCCAUUUAUAUAUGAAUUUUCCUAUUACUGCAAAGUGCAAAUUUUUAAUUCUAUUUAUCUUGUCAACUUUUUCUUCCAUUUAUUUUACAUGUGGAACACCUUCCACCCUGACAACUUCCUUGUAAUUUAUAGAGUCAAUAUUAGGUACUGUUGUUCAUAUCAAUAUAUGAUUCUCAUAUCAAUAUAUGAUUCUCAUAGAACUCUUCAAAGUUCACAGCUUCAGUGUUAGGGUUCUCUUUCAAUCUUCCGCUAUGAAUUGCUAAUACAAUAUAACCAUAAGAUACUUACACACAAAUCAUUAUUACCUUUUUUAUAACUAUGUUGUCGUUAGGGUGUAAAAGUUAUUUAACAUUUAAAGGAUAUUUUGAUCAACUAACAUUUAUAUUCAUGCUUUUAUAAUAGUACUAGAUUAGUUAAGCCUUGCUCUGCACGGUCCAACGUUGUUCAACUAAAUUUUUUGAUAGCUUUUUUUUCACAACGUUCAUAUUUUAGUGCAAAGUUUUGUUGAUGUCGUUACUUAUCUUGAGGCCAUAUAGUAUCUAUAAAUAUUACAAUUUUAAUACUCCCUCUAAAGUACCAAAUUAAAUUUUCCUGAACUCAUAAAUUUUUUCAAAAAUGACUACUCCCAUCAUUAAAAUGAACCAAGAAAUACACCAUCAUUCUUAUUACAAUUCAGAUUGAUAAAUAAAAAUAAUAGGUAAGGAAGAAUGCUUAAGAAGUAAAGACCACCCGCACUUAUACUAUCAAUAUAUGUAUUUGAUUGAAUAUUUACAUUUGGACAUACUUCAAUAGUUUCAUCUCUUGAAUUAAACAAUGACAAAAAGUAUAUCUUCAGUAUACAUGAAAAUUCAAUCAGUUCUUGUAGUAUCUUCAAAAGAAUGAAGCCACAAGAAGCAAAAUUUUCUUCAUAUGUGUGGAAAUAUGAGCCUUCACCCCAAAUAAAAUCUACUGAGGCCUAUAAUGUUAUAUCUGUUGGUGGCUUUAAAAUCACGUAGAAGUAAAUAACCUGAUGUUAUCUCAAUGCAAUUUAAAUGACCACGACAUAAUCUACCACUAUAAAAUUGAAUACAGUUAGUUGACAUAUUUGCUAUGAAAUCACAAAGAUGAGGCCAUGAUGGUUAAGGAUCAAAUUAGAAUAGUUUUAUUAUCUAACAAAGAUAAAAAAAAUAAUUAAGGUUAGUAACUAAUAAUGACAAACUUUGGGUUCACUUGAAAAAUAUGCCUCACUAAUCCAAAAGAUUAAUAUCAAAGGGAUCAAAUUAGAAUCACAAUGUAAAUAAUCCUAGAGGACUAUGACUUAUGUGAAAAUAAAAUUUGAUAAGCCCAGCCUCAAUGGUAAUGGUAUUCUCAUUUUGUAGCCCAUCUCUGGAGAUAACUUUUAAUAUUUUACAUUUCAGACAUAUAUUAUAAGAAGCUACACAUUAAAUUAUAUGGUAUUAAAUUUUACCAUGUUGCCAUAUAUCAAAUUAAUGAGUCAAUUGAAUUUGAUAAAUCAUUUUUUUUCAUCAAAUCGAUUGAUUAAGAAUUCUCCAAGCAUUUCAAAAGACUUGACAAUUCAGAUAUCUACACCUGAAACGCAGAUGAAAGUUCAGACUUUAAAAAUCAAAAAAUAAAAGUUGAUAAAAUUUUGAAGAAAAUAGCUAACUUGUAAAUCGAAGCAGCAAUUGGAUAAGAACAAAUCUGAGAAGGUUGGAGAAGGAUACAACAACAUGGAUUGUAGAACAAAAAAUUUAAAAAAUAGAAUGAAUGGCAAUGUGAAAGUAAGAUACUCAUUGUAAAACCUUAACGCUAACCUUCAAUCCUACAAAAAAUACUUGCUUAUUUUAAAUGAAUGAACGGUUAAUGAUUAAUAGGCUAGAACACUAAAAUACAAUCCUUUUUCAUUACAACAAAAAACAUUGGUUAUUAUCAUUUUUUACCAGGUUGACUUCCAACUUUCUUUUUGAGCCUCAAAACUGAUAAGAUCAUAUGCUUAUGCUGUAAUAUUGUACUUAUGCUUUGUAUUUAAGUCUAGAUUAAUAUAUAGAAACCUUUUUAUGUGCUUAUACAUCAGCGUUGAACGCAUUAUUUGUAGUUCAUACACAAAUAUGCAUUAAAACCUUUGUAAUUAUAGUUCAACAACAAGCCACAAUAAUAAUAAUAAUAAACUUAAUCAUAUAUUUAGAACAAACAUAAAUUUUAUUAUGAACGUAACAAUAACAAAGCUUAACAAAUUUUCUUUUGAGAAUCACUUCAUUCUAUCAUAUAUAUGAGAUUGUUGUAUUUGUGAUAAAACAAUACUCUCUAGCAAGCAUUUAUAAAUGGACAAGUUACAAAUUACAAAAAAGUUUUAUGAAUAAUAUUGAUUCGUUAAGAGCGAAAUUUUUGAAUCAAAUAACUAUAUUCUUCUAAGAUAUAUUUAAUUUUACUAAAAAAAAUAGCAUUAGGCAUUGUCCUAUAGUUGAAUAUAGCACUCAACAAAUAUACUAAUAAGUCGUUGGCAUAAAAAUUAGUUCAAAAACUCAAGUAUUAACAUCAAAAUAUUAGAGCAUACCUCCACCUAUAGGUCCAAAAAAUAAAAAUGGAAGAACUUGACAUGAGAUUAAAACAAAAAGUGACUUCUUACUUUGCUGAAAUGGUAAAAAAAGUCAGUCAAAUCGGAUACGAAUAGAAUCUGCAACAGACAUAUUCAAAGUUUGAAAAAAAGUCUAAAAAAAUACAGUACUAUCAUAAUUUGUUUUAACUAAGAGUUCAAUAUAGCCUUCAACUUCAACGGUCAUGAAUUGAGCCAAAAGAAUAAAACGUAAAACAAAGGAAAAUAUGUACCUAACCUCUGGAAAAUAAAAUAUUGUGAAAAUUAGGACAGCAACGUAGGAAAGACUACUAAAUUAUAACCUUUCACUUUGUAAGCAAAAUACAAUAUUCAACUAAUAAAAAAAUUACAUUUGUCAUAUCUUCUUCUUAUGCAAAGUAAUUGCCAUAUAUCUAGUUUAAAUAGUCCCUUCACUUCUUUCGGGGGUUGUUGAUAAAAGAAGUAGAAGGUACCAUUUGAAGAAGUUGACUUGGCUAGGAAGUUAGCCACUUGUUGGCUUCUCUAUAACAAUCUGCGGUGCUUAUGUCUACCCUUUCUAUAGUCUUGGAAGUUUGUUUCAUAGGUUUUUUCAGCUUCAAAUUAUUGGUGUCUUUUUUCUUGAGCAUACUUGUAACCAACAAUGAGUCCAGCACCAAAUCAUAUUUGUCAUAUCUAGAUUGAUUGCACCAUUUCGUUGCAUAGUAUGCUGCCAUUGAUUUUGCCUGGUUAUUAUUUUUACAUUAAAUUGGGAUUGAUAAAUCCAUAAUGCGAUGGUUGGUAUCAUCUCUGAGAACCUUCUAAUGCCAGCUCUGAAAGUACAUUCUUGUAUGUAGCUUUCAUCUGGGUUGAAUUUGAUCCUUUCAGUUAUAGGCCUGGACCAGACAACUUGCCACCAUCUAACAAUAGGUCUGUCCCUUUCAAUUUUUGAAAAAAUUUGAAAUUUUUUUUCUAUUAAGUCAAAAAUUGGGAAGGCAACAAAGAUAGCUGCUUUGAUGUUCUAUAAAAUUUGCACCUCCAUUCUAGUUGUCAAAAAUUUGGUCUAAUCUCUAUAUCUACAGGAUAUUCAGUUUUUCAGACUUCUCAUGCUAUACACAUGGGGUGAUUUAUUAUACCAUUUUAUGCACAUUGUUGGUAGUGUUCAUAUUCCACCAAGGACUGAAGAAAAUUCUAAGGUUUCGCCCUUGGUGAUUAAUUCCAAGGGGAUUUUCAAAGUAAUUCUAUAUGUGUUAUACCAAUCUCACUAUCACUGAACACAUGAUGAAUUGAUUCAUUUUGAGGUGUUGUGUCUCAUAGGCAUGCAGUAUUCAUAGACUGGAUUAUCAAGUCUUUGAAGAACCUCAUCAAAAAAGAGCUUUUUUAGCACCGUUCUCCAAGUAAGAAAGGAUAUUUUGAAAGGUAAGAACUUGUGCCAAACCUUACUCAAUAUGCCAUCAUUCUUUCCCAUUUUUCUUAUGCUUUGCCAAGCAGAAGAAAUUGUAUAUUGUCUUCAUUAGCAUCCCCAACAUGAAUAUUAGCAAUAUAUAGGACAAUAUGUUCAGGGAGAUCUUCCCCUUAUGUAUCCAUGUUUCAGUUACCACCAUCGAUAUAAUCCAUAACCUUGGAGUUAUUAUUAUGCACAUGGUCAGGGUAUAGAAUAGCCAGUGGUCUUUUCUCUCACCAAUUAUCCCACCAUGUCACAAUUACCACUUAAUUGUCCAAAAAUGCUAGGUUCAACAACCUCUCAAGCAUUCACCAUGAACUUUCAAGCUUUUGAAUUACCGACAGUCAAACUUUUAAUAGUAGGAUGAGUCCUAUGACAAUACUUAACUUUUAUAAAAUCAGCCCAAAGAGAUUAAAUGGUUCUAAACCUUCACCAUCUUUUAAUGGCCAAGGUUUUAGAAAUGUCAUGCAUGUUUCUAAUACCGAUAUCAUCUUCAUCUUAAGGAACACAAAGAUUUUUCCAAGAUCUCCAAUGAUACUUAUCUCUGGUUUAAUUUAAAAACCCCAAAAAUCUAGCAAAAUUUUUUUUUAAUAGGUUAAUAGUAUCAAUGGGGGGUCAACAGAAAAAAGAACAAAGAAAGUAUUAAUAGGGAGUGAUUGAAGAACAUUUUUGAUCAAAUCAAUUUUUCCCCAUAGAUAAGCAUCUUACCCUGCCAACCAUUGAGUCUUUUCACCAUUUUUGUAACCAGAUUAUCAAAGUAAGAAAUAUUUUUUAUGCCAAUAUAAAUGAGGCAACCCAAGUAAGUAAAGAAUAAGUUUUUGGUUAUUAUAUUUUCAAAAUCACACCACGUUGUCAAGAUGACCAGUCUCUGAUCUUCUUGUAUUUAUUCACUUUGCAAUAUUUGAAGUAUGUUGAUGCAAUUCAUCUUGAUACUAAUCACUACAAGUAAAAGACGUAGUUUGAAGGCACUUGAACCAAAAAACUAAUGUUUCUCAAGCUAAUAUGACACCUACAUCAAAUAGUAAAUGAAUAAACUACCAAAAUAAAAGAAGUAUCUGAAACGCCAUAAGGGACACAUAACAACCAUCCAGAAAUUUAAACUUAAUCUAACUCAAGGGCACUGGCUACUCCAUCAACUCAAUUUCAUUGAGUAAGUGAGGAUGUUAGUCAUCAUAGUUUGAACUUGAAAUCUUUUGUAGGCUUAUCUCGUUGAUUGACCUUUUAAUCCUGGUCAUUCAUUGCUCAUCGAUGUGCCAAAAGGGCCUCUUUUUUCUUAAGUGGCAUCGUUCUAUAUAAUUCACGUCUUCUAGCAUUUUUGUCAACAUUUAUUUUUCAAAAGUUUGACCAAUUUUGGAAUUUCUAUUACUCGACAUUUUUACGAUCCAAUUUUUUGUAUAAAGUCUUGGAGAAAACAAUAAGAGAAAAACUUUAUUACACAUUUCAUACAAAGUAAUAAUUAUACUUGUACUAGGAAAGUAACUUUUUAAAAAUAUAAGAGGCAUUUAUUAACAGAAUAAAAUAAGCAUUUGAUGCUUUAUAUUUUUAAAAAAUCAUUAAUCAAAAUAUUUAUAAUUAAAAAAAUAAAUUGAAUAAUUUAUACUUACCACAUAGUCUAAUGUAGAAACAGGCAUACAGAUAGCUAUCAUCGAAGACGAAAAUUGUAAAAUAGACAGUUCAACACAUAUAAAUUACAUAAGUAGAAAUAGGUGGAUAAUUGGGGAGAAAAAAGUGACAAAAUUAAUAAGAAAAAAUAUGAAAUAUUAACAGUUGUAUAGUUCAAGGAUAAGGACGUUAAUCCUGAUAUAAAUUCAGUGUAACCUAUACAAUGUUUGGUUUCGAGUUUAUAUUAGUUCAAGUGAGAGUAGUGAGAGUAACAUUAUUCAGUGGACACCAUAAUACAUUAUUAGAUUAAUGAAUUGUAAAUUUGAUGUUCUAUCAGUGUUUUCAAUAAACACCCUUUUGGCUUUCAUCUUUUUUCUGGAAGUUUUGAUGAGUUGAAAUUCAAAAUGCAUGUCUUAUGCAUCUCUUUGGUCAUUUUUUCAAAAAUAAAUAUAUGCUCACUUUGAUUGUUGAGGUGUGUUUGGAUAACUUUUAGAAAGAACAAAAGUUAUUUUCCAGUGUAGAAGCUGAAAAAUGUACCUUUCUCCGAAGCACUUUUGGAAUCUUUAUCUUGGCCAAACACGUAUUGUUGUUGUUGGUCAUGUCUUCGGUGAGUUGAAGUUUUGUUAUAUCCUGCUCAUGUCUAAUUACUUAACUCUAAUGCUUAUUCUGCCUACAUCUACCCCUCAUCAAUCCUAUUACAGCCAACCUCUCUCACUACCUAAUCGGGGCAUCUGUACAUCUCUCUUUCACCUGUCUGUACAAUCUCAACCUCAUUUCUUGCAUUUUGUUCUUCAUGAGACCAUUACCUCCUUGUCUCAUAACUUCAUUCCUAAUUAUAUCUCUCCUAUUAUGAACACACAUUGAGGCCUCCAGGUUAUUUAUAUCUUGCCAUUGUACUGGUACUCUAAGUUGGUAAUGUACUCCUAACUAACCAACAAAUUUGCAACUGCUUGCUCAGUUUUGGUACUUUUUUUUCUAGUAAGCUUAUAGACUUACCUUUUCCUCAUUGCAAAGAAAUUUGACCACAUUUUACUUAUUACAGUCAUUAAGUCUCUCAUAUUCCAACUAAGCAUAUUAACCAUCUCUUGCAUUAGGAAUGGUAUUGCUAUCCAUAUUUCUCCAUUGUCCAUGUUCACACCGUUCCUCUACCAAACUUGAAAGGAGUUAGAAUUAGCUAUUUGCUGCACUUGCCUUGAAAGUGUAUGUGGUGAGGUCUUUCAGUGAUAUUAUAGGUGCUUACAAAAUAGAAUGGCAAACCUAAAGAGCUAGAAAUACACAACGAUGGAACUUUAUUUAAAUUCAAGAACCUCACAUUUUUAAUAAAUUCGAAAGUUAAUAUCAUGUGCUCUUGAUAAUCAGUCACUCAAUGCUUUAGUUACUCCUACUAAAUAGAAGGCAACAACUCUCCAAAUCUUGAAGGUUUUAUCCACUUGAAUUAGAUGGCAUCAACGCUUCAUGUAUUUCGGAGUCAUAUGUUGCAUGUGUUGUGAAACCUUAGGUCAAAAAUGUAAUCGCAUAACUUUUUUAUGGUUUUUUUUAACAAUUCUCAUGUUUCUAACUUUUAAACACCAACUAUAUUUUAUUCCACAUAUAAUAUAUCUAGUGAUCGUAUAAAAGAAUAGGGUUAGUUUGUGUUUGACUUCAUAAGGUACAAAAGUAACAUAACAAGUCUAUAAAAGAAUUAGGUCAUGUGAAGAAGCUACUAAUCUUUGUAAUGUGAUUGUCAGCAAAAAGGUUCAUUUUUCGCUUUUAAUCUAUCAGUGAAGUAACAAAGUACAUUAAAUGACUGCACAAGUAAUGCAUCUGAACUGAGCAUGUAUAAUUUAUACCUCGAUUGAAGCUCUCAUAAAUCUCCUCCGGGUGUAGUACACGAUACAUUUUUUUCUCCUCACUAAAUUUUCAAGUGCCAACCAUUGUAAAUCGACGUUCAAUAUUCAUCUUAAGAUGUAUCUAACACAUGCAACACAUAAAACAACUUAGUCAAAAUUAGAGAACACCAAACCCUGAAGUUUUACUAUCAAAACUGAAACAUGAAAAUAGUUAAAAACAGAAAAAUCUAAAAGUCACCUAAGUUUGAGUGCUAUUUUAUAAAUACAGAUAUUCAACAAGCAAAGGCUCAAUUUUAUUUCAAAUUGUGAAACACUAAGUAGUGUAUGAAGUUUGCUUCAAUUUUAAUUUUUAAAAAAUACAUAAAUUGUGACAUAUGAAGAAAAUAAGUCAUCACUUUGUAACUGAUUGUGAGAAAUUAAAAGACUGUUUGUACUGAAUUAAGAAAAAAAUAAUGAAGAUUCAAAAUUUCAUCGCCAGAACAAGAGAGUCUGACAAAAUGGAAAAAAAAAAUAAAAGGAGCAAAAUAUGGCUAGAAUUUCCUUGCAAACUUACAGAAAAUUUAAGUUUAACAUUAUUUUCAUGUAGAAAUCUAAGUAGCCUAAUUUCUAAUCAUUAAGUUAAAUUAGAUUUAAGAAAAACCACUAAAAAUCAAAUGAUACAAUAUCACACAUUAUUAAAGAACAGAAACAAAAUUUGACAAAGCAUUGAAGAAGUGGCUAACCUGGAAAGUAGAAGAAAUAGUAUAAUCUGAGAAGAAUGAAUCAAAUUUGACUUAAUAUUGGAGUAGCUGGCCUAAAAAUUUAAAGUAAAAAUAAGAACAAAGGAAUGGAAAAGACUGAAAAAAACACAGGAAAAAUUUCAAAAUAAAUUUAACGAAAAGAAAAAAAUAGAAAAGACACAAAUAUUGAAAGAAAAGUAUCUGGCUUAAGAGCUGAAAUAUGAAGAUGAAGAGUUAUUUAAUUGUAUUUUUUCCCUUUUUUUAGAGAGAAAAAAAUUUGAUUCUUUUAAAACUUCAUUGUACCAUUACUAAUCUUAUAAUUACUCCUUUGCCCUUAAAUGAAAUUAAAUUUGCUAAUUGUCAUUGGUUGUUCAAGACCGGCUCUUCUAUCUAGUAGAAAAUAAUCAGUACGGUAUUCAAAAAUUUUGAUACUAUUGACUCGUUAAUUGACACUUAACUAUUAUCUUUUGUGUUAAUUGUGAAAGCUCACCAAACUCCAUGUUGCAUAAUUGUUGCAGUUUCCACAUUAUAUAAUUCUCAAAAAUCCUCAUAGCAUGAGUUAAAUAAAUUAAAUUUAAAUUAUAUUUAAUGCCAAUUUAUUUAACACUUGCAAACCGCGAUGACCUGCUAAAUAUAAUUUUAUUUAACACAUAAAUAAUUUUAUUUUACCUGGUCUUUAUAUUAAAUAUAAAAAUUUCAUUUUAUCUGUUCAUUUAAACAAAUCAAGAGAAUUUUUUUAUUUUUUUCUCAUACUAUCUUUAAUAUUAAAUAACUACAUAAAGUAGUAUUAUUCAAUUUGGAGCUUUAAGGCAUCUUUAACAAUAUUAGUUUAGUAAAAUAUACCUUUAGUUAAAAAAUUUUAAAGAUAUCUCAAGUCAACAUGAAUCAAGUAAUAUAAACCGUGAGUAUAAUUUUUUUUACUAGCUCUCUGGUGAGGGAGAAGUACUCGAAAGAGAUCAAGGAUAAAACUAGAGAAGGGGAAAUGAAUGAGAAACUAAUACUAGAAAAUUAGGCAUGUUCCUUUUGGUUGGUUGAGUAGAAAAAUGAACUAGUAAAGUUUGCAUAUGAUUUAGUGUUAAUUUUAAGUAUUCCAAGAUGUUUUUAUAGAACUCUUUUAAAAGCACUUGCAACAAGUCAUGGAGCAAUUAAAGAACUCAAACAAAAGAAUAAGAAAAAGGUUGAGAGAGAUAUAUUAGUAAUUGUCAAUUUAAUUUAUUAACGUGUUUAUAAAGCAAAUAUGGGAAACAUAAACAUAUCAAAAUCCUUGCCAUAUUGGGGGAAUACAUAUACACGGAUUACAUUCAUUUCUUGACAAGCUUAUCUCAAUUCCAGAGAUUUAUAUUCGCGUCUUCUAUGAGAAACAGAAGGUGGCUGUAGUUUAAUGGUGAAAAUUCUACGUUGUGGCCGUGGAGACCUGGGCUCGAGUCCCAGUACACACACAUUCUAAACUCUUUUUUCAACCUUAUUUAUCUACUUACUUUCGUAUUUGUAAUAGAAGAAGAAAGAAGCUUCAACAGAAAUUAACAAUAUCCCCCACUUAACGUCAUUAUUUUGUGCAUACAUACACGCACCAAUUAAUCAACCAGGACGUUUGCAGUAAUUGUAGUAGUUACAUGGGCGUUGUCCAGGGUUCUUUUCCCCUAUGCAAUUGCCGUAAAUUUUCUCGUUGCAGACCGGUGGCCGCUGAAGACCCUUGUAAGAGAUGGUAUUUCCGUCACUUGCAAGACUAACCUCCCAAUUUAUGUCAUCCAAUUCGUUCAUCAAUUCUCCGGAAGCAUCAGCUACACUGCUGUUCACCGCGGCGUGCGUUACCGAAGAAGCAGAGAGCAAAAGCUCCCCUAUCAUCACCACGGAUAGGAAGAAAGUGAAGCUCCCCAUCUUAGAAAUCUCACCCUAUUAUUGGUUGUGUUUCUAUGAGUAAGGAAAAUGAUGAAAAGUGUACCCUAUUAUUGGUUGUGUUUCUCUGAGUAAGGAAAAUGAUGAAAAGUGUUCACGGAGAAUAAAGGGAUUUUUUUUGGAGGUCCCUACCUAAUUCAUUAUUAGAGAGGAAAGAAACACUGCAGAAGAUACAAACGUUUUACCAGUUCAUCUCUUUUGUCCAUUUUUGCGUUUUAAAUUUGGCAAAUUGUUCUUCAGUUUGACGCUAGUUGUAUUAUUUUAGAACUCAUGAUUGAUUAAACGAACGAUAGAGUGAUAGAUGCCUAUUCCCCUUCUCAUAUAUAGCUUAGGUUAAGUAAAAUAUGCUCUUUUUCUUUUGUUUUUUCAUCCGGUGUUGUUCACAUUGGAGCCUGACUAAUCCAAAUUCUUGCCGGGAAGUCCCCUAUGGGGAGGUAAAACACCCCUACCAAAAGUGACUCCAUACUUAGGGCUUGAACCUAGGACGUCUGGUUAAGAAUGGAGGAGUACUUGCCACUCCACAAAAACCUUUGGUGGUAUAAAUGAUAAGUCCACAGAUACUGCUAACAAGCUAUGUCAACAUUAGCCCUACCCAUCUCCAAUUUCCAUGUGGACGACUAACAGCUCUGGCCAAAACAAAAAUAGACCACCUCCUGGUUUUAAAAGAUGGAAGUAACGGAUGCCUAAAUGUUGAAGUUGGACAUGGAAAUACUGGAAUCAACUGUAAAGUAUAACUGGAAACUGUCAUCUCAUAAAAUUAUCUCUGCAAAAUUGAUAGGAAAGAAAGCAAGUACAGCUUUAAAAACUCAAAAGAAAAUUUGGCGCAUAAGGAAAAAUGUCUAAAUUUCUACUUGAAAGAGAUGGCUCUGUAUGGGCACUAACUAAUCCUCUCUCCAAAAAUUUAGAGAAGAUUUCCGCAAAUAACUAAUAAAAGCAACCUUCAGCGGAUCACUAAUCCUUGCAUUGUUUGUGUGCUAUCUUCAAUUAUCUCGUUAGCAUGAAUGGUACUAAUAACCCUUGAAAUAUUUCCCUGCAAAUAGUUGAAACUCGUCAACAUUAAUCAUAUAUAAAGAGCAGAAUAACUUGGUGGUGCAUUUUAUAUUACACUAACAUAACUCAUCAUAAAUGAGAACGAGAGGUAAAGGACAUCGAACUAGAUGAAACAGGAGGACAACAGGAAUAUGCUGCAUCACUACGUGUGUAGGGGCUCUAGCAGAGCAGCAGCAGCAAUCAGAGUAACUAGCCACACCCACUCUUGAAACUCAAAUUGACUAUAAGAAUUGAGUUUAAGAAGAAUGUGACUUACCCUCCAAAUCGCAAGCUUUGCUCGAAGCAACUGCCACUGAUUUGGCCCAAAUACACGCUCUGUACAUUGGCUGCACAACAUCCACACAAAGGAAAAGGAAAAAGUUAAGAAUAAUGAACAAUAAAAGCUUAACAGGAAAAGGAAAAAGUUAAGAAUAAUGAACAAUAAAAGCUUAACCAACCAGAGCUAAUUUCUCAAACCAGUGCAGAGGCAAUGAUAAUAAAAGAUGGCGACCACAGAAAGCACACCUCACAAUUAUUACUUAGUUCAUUUGAUCUAUCUUGCAGACAAGUAACUCAGCUGAAAUUGCCUUAACAACCCACGACUCCACCUCAAUAUCAUCAAUCUGCAAAGAGCAAAAGACCAAUGGAAAGACCAAACGGUGGAGCACGAAUACAAACUACAAGACGGACAAUAAAAGUACCUUCAAUGUGUCUUUGAUCGUGGAAUAAGGAAUUUGACCGGCUUCCAUCAUGCCAAGAUCUGCCAAGGUCAAUAAUCUCAUUUUUCUUUACACAAUCUUCAUGGAGAAGUCCUGCAGCAUUAACUGGAAGAAUCAGGCCAAGGGCUGAAGGGCAGCGUUUCAAAACUCAAGGGUUCACUCAUAAAAUACACCAAACUUCCAUUUAGCAGAAACACAAGUACUAACCAUAGGUUUUUAACAAUUCUGAACUUGCCUCCUGGAAAUUCAAGUAAUCAUCUAGCCUUCCAGUGAGAAAGAUCUUCAGAAGCUGAUGUGCUAGAGCAUAUUUAGCAUAUUUCUCCAACUGUACUACAGCAGGCAUAUCUAGCAAGCCGCACUGCCGUAUUCAAAGCCAAGAGUAAAUAUGGCAAGAAAGAAAUGCAGAUUUAGUAAGCUCUCCCAAUUAUUUCCUUAUUUAUAUCAUUUCUGAUAGGUCUUAGAUAUAAUCAUGUUAGUGUUUGGGCAGUUUGUUUGUACAUAGUCUAUUCCAACUGCAGCUCGUUACAGCACACAAGCACAUGUAUCGGGUAAAUGUAUCACCACGAUUGGAGUAGAUUUCAACUCCCCUUUGAGACUACUAUUCUGCAUUAAAUCUUUUUUAAAUCUUCCAACAUCAGUUCAUGAGAAUCAACUUGUUAGAAGAAAGAGAAGAAAGUCCCACAUUGGUGGUUAAUGAGAUGGGCGGUCUCCUUAUAAGGCUUGGGCAAUCCUCCUCCUCUUGAGUUAGCUUUUGGGGUGUGAGUUAGGCCCAAGACCAAUUUUAACAUGGUAUCAAAGCCAAACCCAUCUCACCCAAUGUUGGGCCUCCGGAUUGAGAUUCGGGAGAGAUUUUUCACGCCCAGUUAAGGUUUGGGCGUGAGGGGAUGUUAGAAGAAAGAGAAGAAAAUCCCACAUUAGUAGUUAAUGAGAUGGGUGGUCUCCUUAUAAGGCUUGGGCAAUCCUCCUCCUCUUAAGCUAGCUUUUGGGGUGUGAGUUAGGCCACAUUGGUAGUUAAUGAGAUGGGUGGUCUCCUUAUAAGCUUUUGGGGUGUGAGUUAGGCCACAUUGGUAGUUAAUGAGAUGGGUGGUCUCCUUAUAAGGCUUGAGCAAUCCUCCUCCUCUUAAGCUAACUUUUGGGGUGUGAGUUAGGCCCAAGAGGGAUGUUAGAAUAGCUCACUCACCUGUCUUGAGCAAUCCUCCUCCUCUUGAGCUAGCUUUUGGGGUGUGAGUUAGGCCCUAGAAGGGAUGUUAGAAUAGCUCACUCACCUGCAAGGGCAGCUAAUUCAACUUCUCCUUCCAAAGGAAAUAACCCAAGAGGGGAUUUUAGAAUAGCUCACUCACCUGCCUUGGGCAAUCGUCCUCCUCUUGAGCUAGCUUUUGGGGUGUGAGUUAGGCCAAAAGGGGAUGUUAGAAUAGCUCACUCACCUGCAAGGGCAACUAAUUCAACAACUUCUGCUUACAAAGGAAAUAGGACCUCAAGAUUAUCCUCACACUCACGGACUAGUCUCAUUAGAGUCUCCGUAGUAAAGAUCGGCUGAUGAAGAGCAACCUGUGUAAAAGGCAGACGCAGCAAUCCCCAAGAACCAUCUCCCCGUGUAUGGAAACAAAGUCUUUACGGAUGCUCAUCAUUUCUUCGCUGAAUUCAUUGUCUGUUGCAAGAACUCCAUCUUGGCCACUCUUCUCCUUCACAUGUUCUAUUCUUUCCUUCAACUCCUGAAAGCGGAUAAUGAAGUCUUCUUCUUUAUCGACGUAGAAAUUGUUGAACUUUUCGAGUUCCUCAUUGAGAAUUCUAAUAAACCAAUCCUGCAGUUCUGCCGGCACCGGCGGAGGAGCAGGAGGAGGAGGAUUGCCCAAGCCUUAUAAGGAGACCACCCAUCUCAUUAACCACCAAUGUGGGACUUUCUUCUCUUUCUUCUUCUCUUUCUUCUAACACAAUUGAAAUGUGAUUUUACCUUUCUCAGAAGCUUUAGAAAAUAUCAAAUCAGCGGAAGUGAUCAUCAGUGAAGCCAAAUCUAACCAUCUAUCUUCCUUCAACUAUACAUUCCUGUGUCUCGGCACACAACCUAUUCACCUGAGGCUCCGCAAUCUAUAAACGUAUCAUAUUGCUCCAUUCAGAACAAAGACAAACACUACAUCCACAUAAUUCCAGCCUAAAAUUCACUCAACAAAAUCCGUCCGGCAUUUCAGAAAUUAACCAUUAGUAAAUCAAAUGCAGAUUGUUCAAAGCACUAAUUUUCUUAAAUAGGAAUGUAACUAGAUUACAUAUCCAGUCAAAACUAAAUAAUUUGUAAACAGGCAACAAAUAGAUAAAUAGAAAGUGUCAAGGUGAUUCUUCCCAUGUGUUGUGUCCUAGCCUUAGUGGACAAAGUUACCAUGUGAAUUUAGUCGAGGCACAAAAGCUAACCUGAACACCACUGUUAUUUUGAAAAGAAAUUGUGAAGGAAGAGAUAUAGAUUAACCUCUUGGCCAGGUUUACACCACUGUUAUUUAAAAAGAAAUUGUGAAGGAAGAGAUAUAGAUUAACCUCUUGGCCAGCGUCAGCCCAUCACGACGGAAAGCCACCGAUCUUCCUCGGAAGUAGGAACAACGGUCGUCAUUAUUCAUCUGGUUUAUCAGCGAUUGCAAAUUCGAAAACCCUCCGGGAAAUUGGACGACGGUUGGGGGCAUGGUACUGUAUUGAAACUUUGGUUCCACAAUUUCAUGAUUCAACUAGAGAACUUAUCCCCUUGGCUAAAAAUAUUGAGAGCUCAAUAUUCUUAAAAAAAAACUCUCCAUCUAAUUAUUGUUAGUCUUUAAAUUUUAUGUUUUUUAUAUUUUUUAAAAUAAAAAUUAAUACGGAAAAAUUUCAUAUAUCAAGAUGUUAAUAUACAACUUUUUAAAUUUAAUACAACUCAAAUAUAUAUAUAUAUAUAUAUAUUUGACCAUUUAAUUUCGUUAUAUGUAUUUAAAUAUUUAAUUUUUUUUCUUGUUUUCAUUGAGCGGUAAACUUUUAUUUGAAUAAUUCUUUUUUAAUUCUAUAUUUUUUUUGAUAUUUUAUCCUUUCACAGUUCAUAUUCAUCUUCUUCUUUUUUAAAAUUUUUCAUCAUCAUCUAAAUGAUUUUCUGUUGCUAAUUUUGUUCCAAUGCUCUAUUUAUUUUUCUUUAUUACCUUUUUUUCUUUCUGUAUAUAUUCUAUCUUUACUCUAUGAAAUGUAAAUUUAAUUUUUUAGGUCUAACUUCCUGGCAUCUCCUAAUUAUUGUUGUUUCAAUAUUUGCAUCAUUUUACAAAUAAAAAAUGCAUCUCAAGAGGGGGGAGGAGAAACAAAUAAGUAGAAAAAGUACCGUCUACUUAUUUGCAACAAUUAACGUUAAGUAACUUAAUAGACAGGAUUAACCAAAAAAAUAAAAUCCUAAUAAUAGAAAGUACCGUCUUGUUCUUUUCCUUUCUCAUCAUAUCAUCCUUCAUAUGGAGGUUGACGAUUCUCUUGUCCCUCCCCCUCACGCCACACCUCCAAAACCACCAGACAUUCCCACAAAAGUCAGCUUCAAAGAGCGAUUGUUUGCCUCAGAGAAUGUAAUUGACAUGGAAGUUGGGGAAUGCAGUAAAUCCCCAAAAGCGGCAGAUAUUAAUACUCCAAGCUUAAAUGAAAUUUCCACCAACUUUACAACCAUUACCCUAUCCCACGAAGAAAAUCGGGGACUACAAGCUCCUUGGAAAUUUUCCCUUAUAAUAAAACUAGUUGAAAAACGCAAUGCACAUCAAUAUUUAAAAUCCAAAUUACAACAACUCUGAGAUUUUAUGGAUAACACUCCUCUUAUCGAUUUGGGAUCGGAUUAUUAUAUCCUCAAGUUUUCUCAUCCCCAUAAUAUGAAUACUGUGUUAUGUAAAGGACCAUGGUUCCUUUAUGGACACUAUUUAUCAAUUCAAAAAUGGGUUCCUAAUUUUAUUCCAGAGAAAGUUGUUCUAAUAGAGUCAGCUGUGUGGAUACGCCUUUCUCAUCUACCUACGGAAUACUAUGAUAGCAUGCUUCUCCAGAGAAUUGGUAAUUCUAUUAGUACGCUCCUCAAAAUAGAUGUCUGCACCAGUUCAACAUUAAGGGGAAGAUACGCCAGAUUAUGUGUCCAAGUUCCUUUUGAUCAUCCCUUGUAAAAUUGGAUUCGGAUUGGCUCGCAUCUACAACAAAUAAUCUAUGAAGCAGAUGGCUUUUUAUGCAAAAAUUAUGGGCGAUUAGGCCAUACAGUUCGCGACUGCAAUUAUAUCAUCACAGAGUCAACCCCAUCAGCUUCCUCGCAACUCUACCUCUCCAAAGUAGGUUAGCACAACACUGACAGCUUCCUCUCCGACCACUAAAGAACGGUGUACGGUACAUUUUCCCAGGAAGAAAAAGGUAUCUAUAGGUAAAAAGCAAAGUGCACAGGUACCUUCUUCUUCCUCUUCGCCGAUUAACCACUCUACUUUUUUUAAAAAAGGCUACUUCUCCAAAAGAUGCUGAUGCUAAUUCUCUUAAAAAUAGUUAUACUCGCAGAACUGUUACAGAUCCCAAAAAGGAUUUACUUAGCAAUAAUAAAUUUAAGUCUCUAAUGUCUGCUAAUGCAAAUUCUCUAAUCUCUAAACCCCAACAAAUAAAUUCCUAAAGUCCUUUUGUAAUCUCGGAUUUACACGCUAAAUCUCCCUCAGAUAUUUCCAUUACUGUCCCUUUCCAAAACUCAGCAAUAUAACUCAAACCCCUUUAUUUAGCCCACCGGAGAAAUCAAUAACAAUCUCAUCUUCUUUCUAUGGCAACCGCAACCUGUCCAAUCGAGUCAUACCGUGUUCAUGCCAAUACCACAACACCCUCCUCCAAGUGCUCUUCAACACUCCUCAAAAGUUCUCGAAAGGGUAGGACGAACACCUCUCAACUGGGCCUCAUUCACAAAAAUUUCAAGUCUAAGGCAUGCGGCCCUUAUGGUGUUUCCAAAAAAUGAAGACAAAAAAUACAUUCACAAUUGCCUUCAUUCUCUAAUGAAGUGUUCGUUUGUCCUUCGACCAGCAGUGAAUCAGUCACUGGCAAAGCAUGUAGUGAUAAUGGCACCCACAAUGAGGCCAUGUCACAUUUCCGACCUGGAGAGUUGUAUGUUUGUUUUCCUUACCAUCACUCACAACCCCAUAGAUCAAGACACUUGUUUUAUUAUUUGGAAUACGCGUGGAGUGAAUAAUGCUAACUUUAGGUGCAACUUCUAUGAGCUUAUCUGCAAUCAUAAUCCUUGUCUAGUGGCCUUACUUGAAACUAAGAUGUCUAACCAUAUGGCUCUUAAAGAUGAAUUCACUUUUGAUGAUUUCUAUGAAGUUCCUACGGUUGGAAAUUCUGGAGGAACAGUGUUGAUGUGGUUAUCCCACGUUUUUUAUGUCACUAUGGAAAAUAGAACUGACCAAGAGUUAUAUGCAAAAAUUUAGGUAUACCCUAACUUUCCCCCUUGGUAUUUUUCAUCUAUAUAUGCUAGCACAGACAGUACUAUUAGGUCCCAGUUGUGGCAUAACCUUAUUAACUAUAAUGAGUCCAUUUAAGGACCUUGGAUGAUGGUUGGAGAUUUCAACAAAAAAUUUUGCCAACAAGAUAAAUGGGGGGACGAAAAAUUAAUAAUAAUAGAAGCUCCCUGUUUUGGUCAUGUAUUGAUUCUUAUAACCUCCUAGAUUUGGGUUUUGAAGAAGGGCGUUAUACUUGGUCUAAUCAUAGGAAUAAAUAUCAUGGUUCUAGACUUAUUAUGGAGCAAUUGGAUCGGGUUUUUGCUAAUGAACAGUGGCUUGAGUUUUUUCCCAGGUUACCCACCCUCCAAAAAUCCAUUCCGAUCACUCCUCGUUAUUAAUUACCCUUAAUAGUCGAUAUAGAUCUAGGGGAAGUAAGCCUUUUAGGCUUGAAAAGUUUUAAAUAAAUCAUCCCUUUUUUAAAAAUAUCGUGGAUUCUUGUUGGUCAAAUAAUAACCUUAUUACUGCUACUUCCCAACUUCGUGAUUCAGCUUUAACCUGGAGUAAGCAAACCUUCAGUGAUAUUUUUCGUACUAAGAAGUGCUUGCUAGCUCAUAUAAAUGAUAUUCAAAGUUCUCCUAACUAUCCACACAGUACCUUUUUACGAAACCUUGAACCCUCUUUAAUUACUGACUAUAAUAACACUCUUAAACUUGAGGAUGAUUAUUGGAAACUUCGUUCCCGAAUUCACUACUUAAACGACGGCGAUGCCAAUAUUAAGUUCUACCAUCUUUCGGUCCUUAAUCGUCGGCGAAUUAAUCGAAUCUGGCAACUGGAUAACUAAUCACGAUCUUAUUAUUUCUCAUGCCUAUGAAUAUUUCUCUGAUUGCUUCACUACUGACCAUUUGUCUUCUCACUGGAAUUUCAAUGAGAACUCGGUCACAACUAGUCAAUACCCAAACCUUGAAUCCUUUGAUCGACCCCUAGCUGAUCAUGAAGUCUAUAGUGCCUUAUUCUCCUUUAAACCAUUCAAAGCCCCCGGUCCGGAUGGCAUUCAUCAAUAUUUUUACAAAGAUCAUUGGAAAUCAGUCGAUAAAAGUGUGUUAGAAUGUUGCCAUCAAAUAUUCUCCUCCCAGUCUAUUCCCGAACCUUUAAACAAUACUUACCUAUGCUUAAUCCCCAAAUGUAAAAAUGCCAACUUGCUCAAAAAAUUUCGCCCUAUUGGUCUUUACAAUACUAUAUACAAAUUUGUUACUAAGAUCAUAGCAAAUUGGAUAAAGCCUUUCCUUUUUAACCUCAUUGGUCCUCAACAGACUAGUUUUAUUAAAGGGCGUCGGGCUUGUGAUAAUGCUAUUCUGGUUCAGGAAAUUUUAAACCAUGCUAAUAAAACCAAAUCUAGAAAAGGGUUUUUUUUCAUGAAAUUAGACUUAGGGAAAGCUUUUGAUAGGCUCAAAUGGUCUUUCAUUUAUCGUUCUCUCCAAUUCUUCAAAUUUCCUCAUAAUAUUACAACUCUUAUGAUGAAUUGUAUUACCACUAGUAAUAUAUCUGUAUUGAUUAAUGGCACUCAAACAAUUUUCUUCUCUCCUUCCCGGGGAAUUCGACAAGGUGAUCCGAUGUCUCCCUACAUUUUCAUAUUGUGCCUGGAAUUACUCUCUAAAUACCUACACAUCAAGUUGAUACUCUUCAAUGGGGUGCUAUUACACUAUCUAGAAAUGGGUUGGCCUUUUCAUAUUUAUUUUUUGCCGAUGAUCUUACUUUAAUAUCUCAAGCCACUCCUUCUUCCAUCUAUAAUAUUGCUACUUGCAUGAAUCUUUUUUGCCAACAUUCUGGACAAAAAAUUAAUACGUUGAAAUUCAAAGCUAUUUUUUCCAAAUUUUGCAACCUUCAUACUUUGGAUCUUGUUCAUCAACUAUUUCACAUUCAGCCUUUCAAGGACUUCGGUAAAUAUCUUGGCUUUUCUAAUACUAAUCCUGAAGCCAAGGAUUUUCAAUUUCUCCUUGAUAAUAUGCAUAAAAAGUUUUCUAGCUGGAAAUCAAAGUGUCUUACCCCUAUAGGGCGUCUUACUUUUGCUAAAUCUACCCUAAAUGUUAUUCCGGCUUACACUAUGCAGUACUUUACCCUUUCCACUUUCAUUUGUAAUGCAAUUGACAAAAUCCAGCGUGAUUUUAUUUGGGGGUCCACUAAGGAUAGGAAAAAAAUGCACUAUGAAGCAUGGGAUAUCUGCACUCAACCUACUGCUAAUGGAGGACUAGGUUUAGCAAAAGCCAAAACCAAAAACCUUACUCUUUUAGCCAGACUGUCAUGUCGUUUAUUUACUAAUUCUAAUGCUCUUUGGGCUAGUGCAUUGCUAGGUAAAUACCAUAAAAUGGGCUCAUCCAAUUCUUCUUUCAUAUGGAAAAGUAUAUUACAGGGAGGGCAGAUUUGCGCACCAAAUAUUUCCUGAAAACCCUUUACGGGUAAGGCAAUAAAUUUAUGGUUUGAUAGUUGGUUACCUAGCUCCCCUCCUCUCCGUCAAAUUCUCCACGGUCCUUUAACCAUGGAAGAAUUCUCUUAUAAAUUGUCUAAUACUUGGAAUGGCUCCUCUUGCUCGUGGGAAAAAAUUUCGAUGCAAAUCCCUGAAUAAAUUAAAGAAAAAUCUCUCACUGUUAAGUUGGAUCCAUCAACUACGAGGGUGGAGACUCCUUUUUGGGCUUCUACUUCUAAUGGUUUAUUCGCCACAACAUCGGCUUAUCACUAAAUUCUUGGGAAUAAUCUGCCCAAUUAUGACUAUCAUUGGAUAUGGAAGCCUGAUACUAUUAGUAAAUUUAAAUUUAAUCUUUGGCUUUAUUCCAAAGAACGGCUCCCUACCUUUAACUUUCAGCAUAAUAUGCCAUUGCCCCAAGCGCCUUAUGCUAUUUAAAUUGAACUUCAUGCUCUUACCGUAGGACUAGAACUAGCUGUUUCGCACAAUUAUCAACCCAUUAAAAUUGAAGUAGACUCUUUGGAGCUGCUAAAUCUACUUGAUUUUUCCAACAAUAUAUGUAAACCUUUAAUUUCUUCAUGCAGGUUGUUGUUGAAGAAACUGUAGAAUCCAGUGCUCCGGCACCUCUUCCGUGAAGCAAAUGGUGUUGCUCACUUUUUGUGUACAAAGUCUUCCUGUCUAUCAACGACUAACAAUGUCACUCUUUUGUCGCAGCCUCCCCCUGAAGUUCUCCCUUUGCUUCAGCCUGACAACCAGGAAAAAGCCAUUAGUAGACUAGUUAAUAGUUCUAUAUGUAAUAAACUUGCUAGUUGGGGGAACCUUCUGUAAUAGCCAGUGCACAAGACACUGGUACCUAUCAUGUAACUAUCUAAGUUUUUGUUUUAUUAAUAUCUAUUCCCGGUUAUCAAAAAAAUUCUUUUUUGCUAUUAAGAUAAAAGAAAUAAGCAAACCGUUAAGAAAAAUAAAUCGUUUUUCGUAUAGUAAAAAACACAUAAAGAAUAAUGUAUUUCAUUAAUUAAUAAUAAGUCGUCAAUUAUAUUGUUUGAAGCUUGGUUAAUAAUUAGCACCAAACAAAUUAUAAUAGUUAUUGCUUAAACGAAAAUAGAAUUUACAACAAUAAAAAAAUCAUGAAUGUUCAAAUUGCAGAAGUUGCAUAUAGAGAACAUACCCAUGCACACUCACACGCACACACCUUUUUUUUAACGUUAAUCAUAAAAAAUUGACGAAAAAUAAAUACAGAAUUAGUGUAUAAUUUUUUAAGCUCUUAUUCGAUAGCCCCUCUUACAAAUGAUCAACCUCCAAAGACUUUCUUCAUAAGCUUAAAUUUGAUACUAUAAAUAAUAAUAUAAAGAACACUAUUUCAAAUAUGAAACAAAAAAAUACUCUUGAUGGUCUCAUGAAAUUAAAAAUUGUGACUUUAUAUAGAUGAAAAUGGAGGAAUAUCAAAAGGUAUCUUAAAUUUUAUAAUUAAUUAAUUGAUUGGAGGUUAUGAAUAUGAAACUUAAAAGUCAUGAAGUUAAUAAUAUUACUAAGAGUAGAAAUUUAAUAAUUAAUGAGUUAUGGAGGUGAAAAUUUGAGAAUAAAUAAAAAAGACACAAAAUAUAUAUUCAAGAGCAUAUUAUGAUAAUUAUAUCUCUAGACAAAUCUUUUACUCUUUUUGUAAGAAACACAGAUUUUAUAUUCUUGAAAUUUCAUUUUCUAAUUAGAAAAUAUGAAUGAAGUAUUAAUUAAGAAUAGACAUUAAAAAAUAAAAAUGAAUAAAAGUGUAGUAAUUGACACAUUAAUUUUUAAUGAAUAAAAAUAUAGUAAUUGACACAUUAAUUUUUACACAAUCAAUAUAUAGAGUUAAAGAGAGUGAUUUUUGAUUUUCCUUUUAAUACUUAAAUAUUAAAAAUAAGGAGAAAACUCAACAAAUGUCCAAAAAAAGAAUAUAUAUGUUUUGCGAAAAUUUUGACUUUUGAAGAGUCGCCACUUAAUUUAGAAAAGGAAUUAAGAAACCUUUAUAAAAUACUUUAAACGAUCCAAAACGGAUAAAUCGUUUAAGUUAGAGAUUCUAGGUAAGCGGUUCCUAUUAACGUUUUAGGAAGGUUUUAGGCACCUUAAACAUCCGCUUACUUGCGAUUAUCCGGACUGUUUGAAAAUAUUUUUUGACUAACUUCAAAAAGAUUGAUUUGUUGAAAAGUGAUCAAUUUUUUAGCAAAGACUUGUGUACAAUAGAUUUAAGCGACUUAGUAGGGAUUUUAACUAAGUCUAAACAAAACUAAUAAGCAAAUAAACACAUAAAAGGGGAAAGAGAGGAGAAAGUAAAAGAUUUAGGUCAUUGAGCCCUAAUCAACGAGAUCUGUCAUAGUCUAAUUGGAUUUUCGAUCCAUUUCACCUGUCCUAAUCUAGUUUUGAGCCUUUGGCUCGAGUCUCGCUCCACCUGUAUUAAAUUUACAACUUUGACUUCGAGGCCCAAAAGACAUGAAUAAUGAAAUGAAAAAAUUGAAUAGAUAAUAAUAAAGGACGACAAUGAAUGAAUAAAUGAAAAUAAGACUCUCGCAUCUCUUUGCCUCUUUAAAUAUGGGACUUUAACCCCUUUUUUUUCUUUCGACUUCUCGUAUCCAUAUGCCAUGAGAUUAUCUUUGAACAUAGUCUUCCGAAAAAUCGACUCAGGACUAGACGGGCCUCAAUGGCCCAUAAGACGGGCCUCAAUGGCCCAUAAUGAACAUGCAAAGAAAAAAGAGUCCAUAUAGGACUCAAACAUAUCCACAUGCAAAAAGAAAAAGUGAAGUAAUUAACAUAUAUCCUAAGGUUAAUAUUUAAACGAGUACUAAAUUAUCAUGUAUAAUAAAACAUGCAAAAUUAGUUUAAGGUAACUUCACAAUAUGUAACAUACAUAGAUACCAACAACAACAACAACAAAGAAUCCAGCUUAGAAAUCAGUUGAUAAAAUUAUGAUACACAAAAUGAGUUACCACAAAAACUGAUUCUUUUCUUAUGAAUACACUCAAAAUCCCAUAAAAUUAGUUGGAAAAGUAACAAAGGCUCAAAAAUAUGGAGUAAAAAAAGGUAGAUAAUGACAUUCAACUCGAUAAGAUGUCAUACGUUGAGUAGAAUAGGGAAAGGUACAAUCCUGAGUAAGCAAAUGACAAGAAGUAACAAGAAUAGAAAUGGAAAAACUCUAUUUUUGUAUUUUAGACACAAAAAACACCCGUAGCAAGUUAUAAACCUCUAAUGUAGUGAAAAGUUGAAUCUUUUAGUUAACUAUAACCAGGAACUCAUAAAAUUAGAUCUUUGACUAUGGGUUACAAUAUAAGUUAGCACAAACUCAACAUAUAAAUCAAAAGAAAGGAAAAUAAAGAGAGUCAACUCAAAAAAAAGUUCAUAUUUUACCGUAUAAAGGCAAAAGAACAAGCUUGACCAAGAUACUGGCUAAAAGAAGCAACAAAAAUAGAAGGUAAAACUCCAUUUUUUGCAAUUCAGACACAAAUUAAACCAAGUGGCAUCUUUUGACCCUCUAAAACAAGGCAAAAACUAAUUUUUUUUUAAACAAUAUGCAAGCAUCCAUUACAUUAGUUGACAAAAAUAAGCAAAGCUACAAGCUCUAGCAACAUAAUAACUAAAAGAACCAACAAAAACAGACAGUCCAAGAAACCAACUUGAGAUACCAACAGUACAAUACACCUAAGCAAAGAUCAUACCACCAAAAGCCCAAGCAACACACAGUAAAUAACCCAGGUAGCAUAUUUUGACUCUCUAAAACAAGGCAAAAACUAAAUAUUUUUAACUAAUAUGCUGGCUCAUCAAACAAAAUAACGUCAAUCACUUCAAACGGAUUCCUACAGCAAAUAAGGCGUCUACAGCAAACAAACCAGCAUACAAUAUUAUUGAAGACUUACUCGCAACUACAAAAGGUCGAGAUAGAACAGAAGCAAUCGAAAGCCCAAUGAAAUGGGAUAUUACCUGUUCGGGAGCAGCAAAAUGGGACAAUGAGUUAAUCGUCGAUAGAUCGAUCACCACCGAAGCUUCAGCGCUACUUCGACGAUUCCGAAAAACUCAACGGCUUCUAAACUUUCACUAAAAUAGAGAAAAUUGUUUACUGAUUUUUGCUCCAAAUAAUUUUUUUCUCCUUUUUCCCCUUUUUUUCUUUGUUUUUCUUUCAAGUUUUUGAACCCUCCUUUAGCUUCACAUCGGGUCGCUUAUAUAGAGGACAAAUUGGGAGAUUUCUCCUCAACCUUGAACAAUCGAAUUAGGACUCUAAUCUUUUCCUAAUUUGAAUUUUUCUCCCCUCAAAUUCAGAAUAGGAAGCCAAUAGGAAUAAGAAAACAAAAAAUCUCUCAUGAACCAAUGAGGGUUGGCCAAAUACGUAUGAAUUCGUAUGAAUUAUCUCGAGAUUCACGGAUUUGGACGUUGGAUAGGAAACGUAAUCAAUCUUCUAAAAAAUUACAGGUUGGCGAUAUGUUAGUUCGGGUUAGAUUUGGUCGCUGUCGUUGUUGGGUUUAUGGAUCGGGUGACGGGUUGACGAUUUUGGGAAUUGUUCGAAAUUGGGUUUUUGAGGUUGCUGAUGUUGUUAUUUGGUUGAAGCUGUACGUUGAAGUUGGAGUCGUAUUAUGGAGUUGGUAUUUGUACGUUGAAUUAUUGUUGCUGUUACGUGGGGAGAUACAGAAAUUGGAUCGGGUCAGAUGGAUAGGAUUGGGCCGAUUUGUGGUGGAGGUUGUUUGUUGAAUAAAGAGAAAAUGGGCUAGGCUGUAAAUUGGGUUGGAAGAAUUUGGACCUGUGGGCUGUUUGGUGGGCAGAUUUGGGCUUGGACGAAUUAGGUGAAAAUUGGGGUUAUUUAAUAACCCCAAUUAGAUUUAAUUGGGUCAAAAUAAGCCUAAUUAAAUUUAAUUGGAAUAAAAUAACCCCGAUUAAAUUUAAUUUGGUAAUUUGGAACUAUUUAGAAAAACCUCAAUUUGACUACAGGCUAUUCAAAAAUAAUCUCAAUUAAGAUUUAACCCAUUCUAUUUAAAUUUUGACCAAAUUAAAAGUUAAUUGGAUAAUUGCAUUGCAAUUGUGGUCAAUUUAGUUUCAAUUAUGAUCAAAUUUAAUAGAUUGAUUAAAUUGAAUUGAAAUUUGAUAUAAUUAAUACCUUGUCUAAUCUUGAGUUUCUCGAUUUAAAAAAAUCAAAAAAAUAUAUUUAUUUAUUAUUUUAUUUUCAGAUAAGUUAUUUUCAAAAACACGUGCCAUUUAAAUCAGGAUUUUAAUCAUUUAAAUUUAUUUUCAAGAUAAACUUUGAUUAAAUUUGAUAUUUCAUAAAAUAAAUGUUUAAGUAACCAAAUUAUAUAAUCUCGUAUAAUUGGAUACGAUAAUAUAUAAUCGCUACUUAAAACGAUAAAAUUACCCAGAUAAAUACUUUGAAAAGCUUUUAUUGAGAUGAAAUAAAUAUUUUGAUUUUAUUAAAAAUCGAAGAAACUCAGGAUUAAAUUUAAUCGUGGGGGACAAAAAUUAGGUGUCAACAAUUGCCCCUCUCUUUGGGAAGGGUGGAUGCAAGUAACCCUAGGCAAAGGGAGGUCGACGUUCCUAAUUUUUUGUCCGACCACAAAUUUGAAUCUGAAAGAUGUUGGCCUUCGCACGAGUUUCAUGUAUUUAUGGUUGGACCUCGGUAUCAGGUUUUCUACAUAUCUCAAGUUACAUGAGAAUUUAGGCCACUUGUGGUUCACAAAGUUUAAUUCAAAGCACAAUUUUCAAAAAAAUCACAAGUUAUCUCGAUUUUGGAGUUUUUGUUGAAAUCAAAAAGCUGGAGAAUAAUGAGAUUUGGGGGAGGUUGGAAUGCAGUCGAGUUUUCAAAAUAGAUCCCAACCUACAUAUCCCAAAGACUUAGGGAAUCAGACUACUUGGAGUUCGACUCAAUCGGUAGAAAAGAUGGUCUUUUAUUUCAGAUAGUAUUUGGCUCGGGAUGAGUGACGCAUUGAUCGAGUUACGAAAAAAAGGAUUAUGACCUCUUAACCAUGAGUGUGGAGCUCUUCACAUCCAUGUGUAAGAAUUUACGUACAUAUAAUUUCCCAAACUCUAAGUGAGUUGUCACCGGAUUUGAAUGAAAGAGAAGAUUACCCUCGGUAUGAGCUUAAAAAUAUCCUGAUGGUGAAGCUGAAAUCAGAAUAUCUCAAAAUUUCCACAUUCCCUCUAACAGAGAUGUGGUUGGAUGGUGGUGGAGACCAUCCUUUAGCUCGCGUCCAAAGAGUUUGACGUCCCUCUCUAGACUAUGUCCCAUUUUGCUGCUAAGAAAGAGUUUCAUGUUGUGCUACGUCCUAUCUGAAGUCAUCCUCACCUGUGAUUUUGAUUUGAUAUUUUCAUCCUCUCGGAUUCUCUCUACAAUACUUUAAACAAAAAGUGUUAGUGCUAAACACAAUUCAUGAAAGAGGUAUAUAGUCUUUACUAUAUCUCUACGUGAGUUGUUGCCUGAAAAAUGAAGUCAUUCCUUUCAUGUACACGUUUGGAAGGAAAUAACUUGCAAUAAUAGACAUAAUAACUCUCUUAGUUGUUGCAUAAUUAUCUCAUUUGUCGGUUGAAUAUGUCUUCAAAGUGGGGUGACCCCUUUUGAACACCAACGACACUUUAUGCAGAAUGGUCCUGCAACCGCUUAAUCUUGCGUUGAUGUGACAACCCUUUUGGUCACCUAUAAUGCUUUUUGUAUGUGGAAAGAUAAAUUUUCUGGUUAUUGACAAUAAUUCUUUGCAUAUGAUCUCGUGUAAGUCUUGUGCAUCUUUGUAUCGAUACGACUUAUAGAUUUCCUUUGAAUUAUCAAUUUUUAGAUAAUCUUGCGCAUUAUUUGAAGUUGGAUACGAGGCAACUUACAGAUAUCCUUUGAAUUGCUAUCUUUUAAGUAACCCUGCACAUUAUUCGACCUUAGAUAAGAGAUGGAUUACAGAUAUCCCUACAAAUGAUAUUCUCAGGUAUUUCUGCACAUCAUCCGACCUUGGAUACAAUAUGACUUUUAUAUAUGUUUCAAAUUGCUAGUAUUUAGCUAAUCCUAAACAUAAUCGAUCUUGGAUAUGACGCGGCUUAUAGAGAACCCUUGGACUUAUCAAUUUGACAAUCUCACAUAUUUUCCGGUAAGAAUUUAGUUACGACUUAGGAUAACCUUCGGACGAUCAAUUUUCGGGUAACCUUGCACGCUCUCCGGUUAGGAUAUUGUUGCAGCUUACGAAUGACCUAUGGGCUAUCAACUCACAGGUAAUCUUGUACACUAUCCUAUUUCAACUAAUAUGACUUAUAGAUGACCCUCAGAUUGCCAAUUUCUAGGAAGUCUCAUAUAUCGUUCGCUUUUAGACAGCGACUUAAAGACGCCCCUUUAAAUCACGUGCUUUUGAUGCAUUCAGAUGAUGAUUCAUAAAAUGAUGAGAUAUUCUUAACGCCAGCAUUUGUGUCUCGCAUGUCAACAGAUUUUAAAUAUUGAUGAUAUCCUCAACUCCAGCAUUUGUGUUUUACAUGUCAACAAAUAUUGAAUGUUGAUGAUAUCCUCGAUGCUAACAUUUAUGUCUCACAUGUUAAUAGAUAUUGAAUGAUGAUGAUAUCCUCGAUGUCAACAUUUGUGUCUUGCGUAUCAACAGAUAUUGAAUGCUGAUGAUAUCCUCGACACCAGAGUUUGUGUCUCGUGUGUCAACAGAUAUUGAAUAUUGAUUAUAUCCUCGAUGCCAGUAAUUGUGUCUCAUGUGUCAAUAGAUAUUUAAUGCUGAUGAUAUCCUCGAUGCCAGUAUUUAUGUCUCGCGUAUCAACAGAUAUUGAAUGCUGAUGAUAUCAUUGAUGCCAGUGUUUGUGUCUCACAUGUCAACAGAUAUUAAAUUCUGAUGAUAUCCUCGAUGCCAGUAUUUGUGUCUUGCGUGUAAAUAGAUAUUGAAUACUGGUGAUAUCCUCGACGCCAGUAUUUGUGUCUUACAUGUCAACAGAUAUUGAAUGCUGAUGACAUUCUUGAUGCCAGUGUUUGUGUCUUGCGUGUCAAUAGAUAUUUAAUGUUGAUGAUAUCCUCGAUGCCAGCGUUUAUGCCUUGCGUGUCAACACAUAUUGAAUGCUGAUGAUAUCCUCGAUGUCAGCGUUUGUGUCUUGCGUGUCAACAGAUAUUGAAUGUUGAUAAUCCUUUGUGUAAUGGCCCUCUUGACAAUAAAAAUGAUUUCACCUAAGUCUGUUUGUCUGUAUUUUUGCUUUCUAAAUGUUCUUGCACUCAAUGUAGACAGUUAGUAGACAUAAUGCCGCUCUCACUGGCGACCACAGUCAAAUUUACAGAAGUUUAAAUGACAUAUACUCGGCAUCAUAAUCUACAUGGCUUAAUCUGCUAUUCAUCCUUUUUUCAAAGAAGUAUUUAAAUAGCAGACCCACCAGAUAUAAAUGAAUGGGUAAGAUUCCCUUUUAAGGGUCACUCAAAUAUCGUUCUUUUCGCUUUAAUGAAUUUUGAGGAAGAAUUUCCACUCUUCUUCCUAUUGUGUGAUCCUUUUGAUUGUUGUAUUUACUGCGCUGACUCCUUUGAAUAUACCUACGCUCAAAGUAAAUAUUUAAUAGAUACAAAGUCGCUUAUGCUAGCGACUACUUUUAUAUAAAGAAUUCUAAAUACAAUAUUAAUAAAGAAAACAAGGCGUCUUUGUUUGUCCUUUAUAGGCAAUUUAAAAUGACCUCGAUAAAUGGGUAUUAAACCCAUCUUUGGGGCUACCAAAAAAUACUGUUCUUGAGAAUUAUAUGCUUUGGUGUGGCUCGCAACCCGCUUAGGGAUUUUUUGAAAAAUAUUUUUAUUUUUGUGUCCUUAUCCCUGUAUCCACAGAACAAUGAUUAGUUUUUUGAGUGAAACUACUCUGUGUUGACCUUCUUCGAUCCUUGGUUUGCUCCUCACCAUAUUUCGGGUACUUCGUUAUGUUGGGAGUUCCACCCUAACUCCUCAUUUCAAUGGAUUCCUAGGCAAUUACUAAGUACAAAGAUUUGUAUAGAUUUUUUGAAAGUAGUCUUAUUUUUAGAAAAUAGUUUCAAAAGUUUCUGUAAAAGCUUUAGAAAAUCUCUGUCAGUCAUGUCAUGUACUGGCUCAAAAACGUCUUAUUUUUGGUUCUGACUGUAUCUGAUAUUAAAUGGAGAAAAACCAAGGAUUCAUCAUCGUCGAGGCUCUCUACCAGAAGUUCUAUCAUAGCCGGAGAUUUAGUCUACCUAGAUUUUAUCACAGGUGGUGAUUCCCAAAUCUUGACUUCGACCUCUAGUGCUGGGGUAUUUGAAAUAUAUUCCAAUAUAUUAGUGGAAAUUUUGAGGACCUCCUCAAAAUUUCUUCCCCGGUUUAAAGUUGUUUGAGAUGAUCUCAGCUCAAGAGGAUCCGAAGUCUUAGUUGGUCUCCGUUCUCUUUGUUGGACGAUGAUCUUCCUCUUGUGAAUUUUUGAGAUUCCUUCUUAAAAAUUCUGCCCCAGUUUCCAUUUCCUGGGGUUAUAUGACCGAGCCGCUGGGGCACCUACGUAUUCCGUUGAAGCAGGAAUCAGGUCAAAUGUAGUUCAGGACUAUGCUAAGGAUAUAUAAAAAAAUCUAAUGGGUUGACCGAAGCUGACAUAGGCCACCUACGUAUACCUUUUUUGAGAAUUCAGGUCAUCGCGUAGUUUAUACAUAAAAAAAGGAUAAAUUAUACUAAGGGGUUGACCGAAGCCGACAUAAGACGCCUAUGUAUCCCUUUCUUAGAAAUUCAGGUCAAACAUAGUUCUUACAUAAAAAGAAGGGAUAAAUUAUCCUAAGGGGUUGACCGAAGCCGACAUAAGACGCCUAUGUAUCCCUUUCUUGGGAAUUCAGGUCAAAUGUAGUUCGUACAUAAAGGAAGGAGUUCUAAGCAAUUAUCAUAAAAUAAAUACUAUUAUAAAGGCGAUUACAAAUAAACCAAGUAAACAAAAACUAAAGCAUUAUUCAAACAUAGUACCGCUUUACCGCGUUGAAAUUGAUUGAUUUGGUCCACUAUUGGCCAUCCAUCUCGAAUAAAAUCAGAUCUCCUCGGAUAGUACCUUGUGAACUAUGUAUGGCCCUUGCCAGUUCGGAGCAAACUUACCUUUGUACUCUUCUUGGUGAGGGAAUAUGCGCUUGAGAAAAAAUUGCCCGACUUCAAAUGUUCGAGUUUUUACUUUCUUGUUGAAGGUACGAAUCAUCCCAUGCUAAUACAGCUGACCAUGACAUACAACAACCAUUCUCUUUUCAUCAAUCAACAUGAGUUAUUCAUAGCGAGCGCAAACCCAUUCUUUGUUACUUAGUCCGGCUUUCUGAAUAAUCCUUAAGGAAGGUAUCUCAACCUCAGCAGGUAUCACAACAUCAUUCCCAUAAAUAAGUAUAUAAGGAGUAUCCCCGGUGGAGGUUCAAACUAUUGUAGAUACCCUAGCAAAGCGUAAGGCAACAUCUCAUGACAUGAUCUAUCAUUUUCGACCAUCUUUCUCAAGAUCUUUUUGAUGUUCUUAUGGGCGGAUUCCACAACUCUAUUCAUCUGUGGACGAUAUGCAGUUGAGUUGCGAUGCACGAUUUUGAACUGAUCACAAAUUUCAAUCAUCAAGUGACUGUUCAAGUUUUCCCCAUUAUCAGUAAUAAUCAAUUUUGGCACUCCAAAUUGGCAAAUUAAGUUAUUCCUGAUGAAAUCUGUAACCACUUUCUUGGUGACGGCUCUAUAUGAAACAGCUUCAACCCACUUAGUAAAGUAAUCAAUAGUAACCAAAAUAACUCUAUGCCCAUUUGAUGCCGGUGGUUCUAUUGGUCUGAUAAUAUCCACACCCCAAGCUACGAAAGUCCAAGGUAAAAUCAUCACAUGAAGCUCAUGUGAAGGUAUUUGAAUCAAAUCUCCGUGUAUCUGACAUUUUGGGCAUUUCUGCACAUACUUGCUACAAUCAUUUUCCAUAGUCAUCUAGAAGUAACCAAUUUUCAGGAUCUUUCUAUCAAGGGCAAACCCAUUCAUAUAGGCCCCGCAAACUCCAGCAUGUACUUCCUUUAUUAAUUUAUUGACUUCCGCAGCGUCGACACAUCUUAAGAAACCUACAUCUGGAGUCCUCCUAAAAAGGAUUUCCCAGUUGAAAAAUAAUUCUUUGCCAAAUGCCGGAUUGUCUUUUUCUUAUUGUUGCUGGCCUCUUCAGGAUAUAUCCCAAAUUCUAAAUACCUUUUAAUAUCAUAGUACCAUGGCUUUUCGUCAGGCUCUUCUUCAACGUGUGCACAAUGCGCGGGUUGCUCCUUCAAGCUUAUUUCCAAAAGAUUAAUGUAACUCUGAUCUUGGUGCUGAAUCAUGGAGGAUAUAGGGGCCAAAGCAUCAGCAAAAUUAUUUUGUAUCCUUGGGAUAUGUUUGAAGUCAACUUCCUUGAAUCUUCUACACAAUUCCCGCACCAGCUCCACAUAAUAAGUAAUCUUGGUGUUUUUUACCAUCCAUUCUUCCUGUACCUAGUGAAUCAACAAGUCUGAGUCCCCGAUGACUAGUAAUUUACAAACGCCCAUAUCAAGUACCAAUUUGAGACCUAGGAUGCAAGCCUUAUAUUCGUCUAUGUUAUUGGUGCACGGAAAAUACAACUUAGUGGUGAUCGGAUAGCGUUGGACUGUUUCUAAUACCAAAACUGCUCUGAUUCCUGAACCUUUGAAGUUGACCAGCCCAUCAAAGAAUAACCUUCAUCUGGGGUAAAUUUCGACAAUGUCUUCUCCCAUGAAUAAAAUUUCCUCAUCUGGGAAGUAAGUUCGAAGUGGAUCAUAUUCAUCAUCAAUCGGAUUCUCUUCUAAAUGAUUUGCUAAGGCUUGCCCCUUGAUUGCCUUUUGAGUCACAUAUACAAUGUCGAACUCACUCAACAACAUUUUUCACUUAGCUUACUUCCCCGUAGGCAUGGCUUUCUGGAAUAUAUACUUCAAUGGAUCUAUUCUGGAAAUGAGAUAUGUUGUGUAUGAGGAGAGAUAAUGCCUCAAAUUUUAGGUGGCUCAAGUCAAAGCACAACAUAUCCUUUCUACAAGAGUGUAUUGAGCCUCGUACGUCGUAAACUUUUUACUCAAGUAGUAAAUUGCUUUCUCUUUCUUACCUGUCUCAUCAUGUUGCCCAAAGAUAUAUCCAAAAGCAUUUUUUGAGAUGGACAGGUAAAGCAACAACAGACUUUCUUCCCUUGGCGGAACCAAAACUGACAGAGCGGAUAAAUAUUCCUUGAUUUUAUCGAAAGCUUUCUGACAUUCUUCUGUCCACUCAUUCAAUUGUCUUUCUUCAACAUCUUGAGAAUUGGCUCACAUAUGACUAUAGACUGAGUAAUGAACCUGUUAAUGUAAUUCAAAUGACCCAGGAAACUCAUAACCUUUUUCUUGGUUCUCAGUAGCCGCAAAUCUUGAAUUAUUUUAAUUUUCGACGGGUCUAGCUCGAUGCCCCUUCUGCUGACUAUAAAACCCAGUAAUUUCCCGGCUGGCAAAUCAAAAGCACACUUAGCAUGAUUUAACUUUAAAUUAUACUUUCUCAAUCUGUUGAAAAUUUUUUACAGAUAAUUUAAAUGAUCCAAACUCUCACGAAAUUUGACAAUUACAUCAUCCACGUACACUUCAAUUUGUUUAUGAAUCAUAUCAUGAAAAAUCAUCGUCAUAGCCCUCAUGUAUGUUUCACCUGCAUUCUUAAGACCAAAAAACAUUACCCUGUAAUUAUAAACAUCCCAGGGCAUAAUGAAAGCUAUUUUUUUGGUAUCUUUCUCAUCCAUCUAUAUCUGAUGAUACCCAGCAAAACAACUCAUGUUUUGCACAAUUAUCGAUGAGGAUGUGAAUGUUGGGUAGCAAAAAAUUAUCUUUAGGACUAACUCUAUUCAAAUCCCUAUAGUCAACACAAAUUCAAAUCUUGUCAUCCUUCUUCGGCACUAGGACAAUGUUGGUUAGCCAUGUCGGAUAUUUUGUGACCUCCACAACCUUAGACUGAAUUUGCUUCGUCACUUCUUCCUUGAUCUUCAGACUUAAGUCCAGCUUGAAUUUCCACAUUUUUUGCUUGACUGGAUCAAACUUAGGAUUUAUUGGUAACUUAUGCGACACAAUGCUGGUGCUCAAUCCCAACAUAUCAUUAUAGGACCAAGCAAACGCGUCAAUUUACUCCCGCAACAAGUGAACGAGUUCUCUUUUUUAUGCUUCUGCUAAAUGAACACUAACACUUAUUUCUUUGAUUUCAUCAUCAUCGCCCAGGUUGACCGUUUCAGUUUCUUCUAGGUUGGGUUUCUUCCACUUCUCAAACUCUUCUAUAUCUUCCACGAACCGCGCUUCAUUACUUUUUUUCCAAUCAUCAUCAUUCCCUUCAUUUUGUUCGUCUAAGCUUUGACAUGACACGACAUUGGCAGGUUUAAGUUAUUGUUACUGUAAUAAACAAACAAACCAAGUUAGAUGAAAACAAGAUAAUAAUAAAAUAUACUAAUAUAAUGGUGUUUCAAAAUAAUUUUUUUAAAAUAAAGGGAGGCCUUUUCAUUGAAAUUUGGGAGAUAAUUAUAAACUAUGGCUCAUGACCCGGGCAAGUGUAGGCCCAUGCCUUUUUUAAAAUAGUAAAACACGAAAAGAAAAUUUGAGACAUAAAAGGGUGGAUCACGAGGCCUUCUCUGGAUCGUCACUGAUUUUUAAAACUACUAAUAAUUGCCCUUUCAUCUACCAUGAUGGGUGACGGGUUAUCAGUGGAGUAGAGGUCCAGUUUUGCAAAGCCUCUCCUGGUACAACCUUAUUCACCUUACUGGACUUUAGGAAAUCUUUUGGUACAGCUUUGCAUCCCUCGAACAGAUUUUUUAUCCCAUCCCCAAGACCAUUAUCAUUCGACAUCUCACGCACGGUAAAUGACUGGUACAGGAGUGGCAAAGGCCUAGGCAGACUCGCCUUUGGCUUAUCCUCAAACUCAUCCUAUUCUGUCAGCUGGUAUCCUAACCCAUACUUAGAUGCCUUCUCUGGGACCAUAAUGGGCUGAAUAAUUCCUUCCAGGUUCUUACCCAAACCCCGACCAAGCUCAAACCUAUUUCUUAACAUCAUAAUCAUAAUCAAUUUAUAGGCAGAAGGCAUUGGAGCUUUGAGCGUUAUAUAUUUCACUACAACACAUACAAUUUCCACUAUACAAAAAUUACCACCCUUUGAGAUAUCUUCAAUCAUCGGCACACAACCAUUGGGAUGAUUCGUGUGACUUCUUUCUCCUUGGAUGACUAUUUCAUGAUCCUCCCAAAUAAACUUUAAUAACUGAUGAAGAGUCGAUGAAAAUACCUUUGCACCAUGUAUCCAUGGUCUUCCCAAGAGCAGGUUGUAACUAGGAUGACAUAACAUAAAAUUUAGCCUUGAAUUUAGCAGGUCCCAUUCGGAUGUACAAAUUAAUUUCACCUAUGGUAUCUCUCUAUCUUUCAUCAAAUGCUCGCAUAUUUACGUGGCUUUACUAAAUUUUCCCUAAAUCAUAGCCUAUUUGAAUCAAUGUGGAAAGAGAACAAAUGUUCAAACCAGAUCUGUCAUCUAUUAAUACCCGGUUAACCACAUAAUCCCGACAGACGAUAGCGACAUGCAAGGCUUUGUUAUGCAUUACUCCCUCAAAUGGCAACUCUUCUUCACUGAAGGAUAUGCGAUGACUUCCCACAACAUUUCCUAUUAUCGCAGCCAAAUUUUGUACACUCGUGCCUGCGGGAACAUACACUUUGUCUAAUACCUUUAAUAAAGCUUAUUGGUGGUAUUGUGAACUCAUUAAUAGUGCCAAAAUAGAAAUCUGGGCUGGAUUCUUCUCUAAAUACUUCACAAUCGAGUAGUCUUUCGGUUGUAUACGCCUUCAAAAUUCCUCGACCUCCCCUUCAGUGAUUGGCCUUUUCUAUAAAUCCUUCCUAUUGGUUAAAUCUUCAGGAAUGUAACAUCAUCCAGACCAUGUCAUCCCAUGGGUAGCGGCGAUCUCUACAAUAAAUUCCUUUCAGAGCAGAGAAAUGUACACCUUAGUCGGGACCGUCAUUACUAUGAAUGGGGGCUUUCCAUUGACACUUAAGACAGUUACGACCCUCUCUAUCUUCUCCAUUUCUUUCUCCUUUUGAACUUUUCAAAAUUUACCUUAGAAAUGGUCUUGCUAGACACCUAUUUGCCCUCUAUUUCAAUCAUGUUAAUUGCAGCUCCGUCAUGAUUAGGCAAUGGAUUACUACUAACAUUUGGUGUUGGUGAUUGAAACGUAAUGAUUUUCUGAUCAAUCAAGUCUUGGAUCUUAUGAUUCAGGUUAACGCAAUCCUUGGUACUGUGCCCGAUCACUCCUGAAUGAUAGGCACAAUUUUGAUCGGCCCGAUAAAUCGAGAAUUGGGAUUGAUAAAUUUUAGUUGGAUAGGCUACAAAUGACCGGCAUCCUUUAAUCUCCCAAAGAGUUAGGUGCGACUCUCGACCAGCGACGUGAAGUUUCGGGGAGGUCUUUUUUUUAGGUUUGGACAUGGGGGGUCAUAAUGGUUCUGAUUAAUAGGAAGAGGUACUUGAUGAUAAUUUGGAGACGCUUGGACGCUUGUUCGGUUAUUUGGAAGGGCAGCUUGAGCAUAAAGCUGAUAAUUCGAUUGCAAAAUUUGGUAAUGAGGUAGGAUAAUUGGUUGUGGGGCUUAGUAGUGGGAUUGGAUAUUUAAAAGUGGAGCUUGGUAAUGGGGUUGGGUGUAGAACACAUGCUAAAAAUUUGGUGACGACGGAGAUAAGAAAAUGUUCCUAGGCUUGAAUUUCUUCUUCAAUUUAGCAACAGAAUUAGCAGAGACCGUGCCUACAUCUUUAUUCUUCUUCUUUGGUAACAUAGAAGUCCUAGACAAUGUUAGAGUAUUGAUAAUUUUUCCCUUUUAAAUGCCUUUUUCUAGCGAUUCCCUAAUUUUUACCAAAUCUGCGAAAGUUGCUCUGACUGCGGAUACCAUCCUAGUAUAAUAUUAUCCCUCUUGAGCGCGAGAGAACACAGACACCAUCUUUUCCUUAGACAUGGGAGGUUGUACUUUGGCAGUUUCUUUUCUCCAAUGGAAGGCAUAGUCUCGGAAACACUCAUCAUUUUUCUUCUUAAUUCAGUCUAAUGAGUAUCGGUUAGGGACUAUUUCAAUGUUAAAUGCGAACCUAUUAAGGAAAUCUUUAGCCAAUGCCCUCUAAUUAGUCUAUCUUUUCAGUUCUUGACACAUGAACCAAUUUAAGGCUUCGCCGCUUAAGCUUCAGCUGAAUAAGUACAUUAAUAGUGCCUCAUUUUUUCCUACCCCCACUAUUUGAUAACAAUACCUUCUCAAAUGGGCCAUCGAAUUUCCAAUACCGUUGAACACCUUAAAUCUGGGGACCUUGUAUCAUUCUGGUAGAUCUAUUCUAGGGUGAACACAUAGAUCAUCAUAACCUAGGCCAUCAUUAUCCCCCAUCCCAUGAGAUUCCUUGAUCCUCAUCAUCUCUUCAUUCAUAGCCAACAACUUUAUUUCAUGCUUGGUCCUCUACUCUUUUUUCUUCUCCUCAUAAUGGUCUAUCUCGUGAUUGGGAAAAAAAUUAUAGAUGUUAGGGGAUAUGAUGAUGUAAGAGAGAUUUGCAAGGUUAGAUUGAUUUUAAGGAUGAGGGGAGGCUGGUUGGUAGGUGGGGAGAAUGUUCUGGAAAUUGGAAAAGUUUUAUGGAAUUUGAGAGUAGUUUGGUCGGAUCUGAGAAGGAUUUUGCGAAUUUGGAAAUGAAGUUUAUGGAUUCGGAGAUGGAUUUGGUAGAUUAGGUAGAUUUGGGGAUAGAUUUUGUAGAUUUAGGAGCUAAUUUUAUGGAUUUGAAAGCGAAUUUUGUGGGUUUGAAAAUAGAUUCUGGGGAUUUGGGAAUGAAUUUUAUGGAUUUUGUAGAUGGUAAGCAUCUGGGUUAUUUUAUCGGUUGGUGUUUUGGACAAGUUGAGGAGCGGAGACGGACGAUAUGUUAUUUGGAUGAUCCUUGAGAAUAGGUGUACUGAGAGGAGGGAUCUAGAGUGAAGUCCUGUGUCCUCCUGGAGUAGGAGCAUUAACAGUAAUGGCCAGGUUAGCCAAAUCUCGAGUACGAUUCAUCUCCUCCUGAAGCAUUUCCAAUUUUCUCGCGAGUUCGGUAAUUGUCUCACUUUGUUCCGCUAUUACAUUGUCUUUGAUGGUCAACGCAUUUUCUUCAUCGUUUUUGGUCAUUUUUGAAUAAUGGUCAAAGGAUGAGAUCUUAUGCGCUUUUGACCGGGUGAAGUAAGGAUGUUCUGACAGCUUAUUUCAACACUAAGUAGUUUUCUAUUAUCUGUAAAGUAAAAUAACUCAAAGGUAGAUGUGUUAGUUUCCAUACGUGAUAGGUAAUAUAAGAUACUUCACAAGAAGUAACCACAUAGAGUUGUUGGUGUCAUAGACAGACUGAUUCAUGGGAGCAUAGUGGAUAAGUUUACCUUUGACUCAAACAAACACACAUAAACACAUAAGGCAGUUAUAUCACAUAAAUAUUAUAAUAGCGUGUAUCCUACUAGGGUGACCUUUUUUGAGCCAAGGAUCUGGGACUAACGGAUUUUGAAGAAAGUACAUGCCUUUUUAAAGCCAAUCCAUUAUCCCCCUAACCUUCAUAGAUAUAUGAAAGGGUAUAAAUUCCUCCAAAAUAUAACAAAGAGGGAUACAAUAUUUAGGGAAAAGGGAAAUAACAUGAAAAAAGAUAAGGUCCUACGCAGGGGAAUAGAAAAUCUAACUACUGGAUACUCCAUCGUUUGCCUUUGCCUUCUUAGCCUUAUUCACCUCCUGCGAAUACCUGUUGAUGAUCAGAUGACUCCCGCAUAACUGUGACUUGUUGUCGUAGGUCAUUCUUUCUAUACUAUCAAUCUGAGAAGCCAUGCUAUCAUCCAAAUAGAUUAGACACUUCUUAGAAUCAUCAACCUCAUGCCUGGCUCGUUUCAACUCUUCCCUCAAUAUACAUAUAGUCAAAGCAUCCUCUAUAUGCAUCUGUUGGUGCGUGAUUUUACUUUUUUUAAAUUCAUCUUAAAGCCUAUGGAGUUGGAUCUGAUGCUCUGAUUCUAUAUCAACAACCCGAGUGGGUACAUUCGGCCCUGAAAUCAAUUCUCCGGCGAGACUCUUCUUCUACCACUCCUUGUAAGUGUCGCUGACGUCGAGAUCAUACUCUAUACAGAAAGAGACUUUCUUCCAUCCUCUUCUUCUUCAUCUAUUUACCCUGUAGUCUUUGAGCGGAGACUCGCCUUCAUCAUACUCAGUAAAGAAUCUAAGCAUACACUCGAUUUGGGGUGUCUCCUGCUUGAUCUCAAAUUGCCUAAGAACUCUGUCAGGAUUGUAGGGAUGGGUCCCCCUGAGACCUAUAAGCACUAGAAAAGGCCACUCACCCCCUCGAAUGGUGUAUCUCCCUGAACGAAGAUAUUUGAUGUACUAUUGGACAUCUUCAUCCCUUAUUCUACAAAAGCCUUAAACCAAAAUACUGGAGAUACUUCCCUUUUGAACUUGUGCGGAAACAGCCACAUGUCAUGCAAUGAUAAAAGAUCUUCCCUUAUUUUAUGAUCAGGCUGUACCGUUCUAGGAUUAUUCACCAAAUGCAUCAUCAUCACCAUUGCAAGAUAAGGUUGUAACCUUGAAAGAAAUGAUUCUCGGCCUGACAUCUUCCUAAAGCUCGAUAUAUGUUGGCUACAAUCAUGGGAGCUAUGUUAUGGAAUACCUUUUUAGAACCAUAUUUUAUUCCAUAGAAGAGUGUGUGGCUCACCGUGACAACCCUUGGAUGAAUUGCACCAUUUUUCCCUUGUGGAAACACCAUAGUUCCAAGUAGGCCUACCGCAAAUGCAAAUGCCCUUGUCUUCUUCCAUUUUGCUUCUGACUCAAAUUUAUGUCCGAACUUAUGAAAAGCAUUAAACCUUCCGAACCAGCGAUACUACUCACGAAAAGGGAUAUUUAUCUCAUCACGUUCCCCUAGCUAGGUGUCAUCAUUAAGUAAAAAGACCAUCUGAUCUCUUGACGGUUCCACACAAUCGGGACUGGAAUGUUCUUAUCAAGUGUCUCUUUUCUCUUGAAACAAAUUUCAAUACUCUCGUAACAAAUCAACACCUCUUCAAUAGUGGGAGUCAAUUCAACAUCCCCAAAAUAAAACACCAUAUUCUGAUCAUCUCAAAAGGUUGUCAGCACGUGGAUCAUUUCAGGCCAAGCGUCCAUCUCAAUAAACAAAGGCAAAUGCCCGAUAUGUGUUCUAAUAAUCUUUCUUUCUUCUCCGCUUAUGUAAUCCCACCAUAGUUUCAGAAAAUUAUCCGGUCCAGUAACCAUCUUGAACUUUUUGCGAGAAUGCAUUGAGUCAUAUCCUACAUGAAAGCAGACAAAGAUAAACCCAAAGGAUAAUGGAUUGGAUUAAACAAACAUACAUUUUCUUCAACACAUAAACAUGAUUCGCAUGUAAUUUACUCGGGGUCAAUAAACGUAGGGCAAGUUUUCUAAUGGGCCCAAUACUCCCUCGGGUAUUGGGUCGUCCUAGGAUCAUGCCUAAAAUUAGGUUUUGGUUUUGCUCUAUCCUAGGUGUCUAGAGUGGGUUUGAACCAGGUUCCCAAGUGGAUGACUUGGGAUUGAAAAUAUGAACAGCUAUCAAAUGACUCACGUACUAAUAAAUCGUUGUAUUUUCAACAUUUUUAUUUGGUAUUGAACAACAGGGACCGGGACAUCCACGAAACCCCAAAACAAUUUAUAAAUAAAUGCAGGAAUAUGCCAUAAGAUGCAAUAAUUAAAUAUCGCGAAAUCGAACAUAUAAUCACAUAGAUAGUUAAUCAAAAGACGAAAUCAAACAUUUGGUUAGAACCUAGUUAAAAAAAUCCCCAGCAGAGUCGUCAUUUCUGUUUUGCGGAAAUUUUGACUUUUGAAGAGUCGCCACUUAAUUUUGAAAAAGAAUUAAGAAACCUUUAUAAAAUACUUUAAACGAUCCAAAACAGACAAAUCAUUUAAAUUAGAGAUUCUAGAAAAACAUUUCCUAUUAAUGUUUUAGGAAGUUUUUAGGCACCUAAAACAUCCGUUUACUUGCGGUUAUCCGAACUGUUUGAAAACAUUUUUUGACUAACUUCAAAAAGAUUGAUUUAUUGAAAAGUGAUCGACUUUUUAGCAAAGACUUGUGUAAAAUAGAUUUAGGCGACUUAGUAGGGAUUUUAACUAAGUCUAAACAAAACUAAUAAGCAAAUAAAUACAUAAAAGGGGAAAGGGUGGAGAAAAUAAAAGAUUUAGGCCAUUGGACCCAAAUCAACGAGACCUGUCCUAGUCUAAUUGGGCUUUCAACCUAUUUCACCUGUCCUAAUCUAUUUUCGAGCCUUUGGCUCGAGUCUCGCUCCACCUAUAUUAAAUUUACAACUUUGUCUUCGAGGCCCAAAAUACAUGAAUAAUGAAAUGAAAAAAUUGAAUAGAUAAUAAUAAAGGACGACAAUGAAUGAAUAAAUGAAAAUAAGACUCUCGCGUCUCUUUGUCGCUUCAAAUAUGAGACUUUAACCCUCUUUUUUUCUUCCACCUUCUCUUAUCCAUAUGCCAUGAGAUUGUCUUUGACCAUAGUCUUCCAAAAAAUUGACUCAGGGCUAGACGGGCCUCAAUGGCCCAUAAUGAACAUGCAAAGAGAAAAGAAUCCAUAUAGGACGCAAACAUAUCCACAUGCAAAAAGAAAAAGUAAAGUAAUUAACAUAUAUCCUAAGGUUAAUAUUUGAACGAGUACUAAAUUAACAUGUAUAAUAAAACAUGCAAAAUUAGUUUAACAAAGGUAACUUCUCAUUAUGUAACAUACAUGGAUACCAACAACAACAAUAACGAAUCCAGUGCAUCCCCGAGGGUAAAAUAUACGCAGUCCGUACCGCUACCUCAAAUACGAGAUAGAAAGGCUAUUUCCGAUAGACUUCCAGCUUAGAAAUCAGUUGAUAAAAUUAUGAUACACAAAAUGAGUAACCACAAAAAUUGAAUCUUUUCUUAUGAAUACACUUAAAAUCCCAUAAAAUUAGUUGGAAAAGUAAUAAAGGCUAAAAAAUAUGGAGCAAAAGAAAGGUAAAUAAAGACAGACAGCUCAAUAAGAGGUCAUACGUUGAGUAAAAUAGGGAAAGGUACAAUCUUGAGCAAGCAAAUGACAAGAAGUAACAAGAAUAGAAGGGGGAAAACUCCAUUUUUGUAUUUUAAACACAGAAAACACCCAUAGCAUGUUAUAAACCUCUAAAGCAGUGGAAAGUUGAAUCUUUUAGCUAACUAUAACCAAGAACUCAUAAAAUUAGAUCUUUGACUAUGGGUUACAAUAUAAGUUAACACAAGCUCAACAUAUAGAUCAAAAGAAAGGAAAAUAAAGAGAGUCAACUCAAAAAAAAGUUUAUAUUUUACCGUAUAAAGGCAAAAGAACAAGCUUGAGCAAGAUAAUGGCUAAAAGAAGCAACAAAAAUAGGAGGUAAAACUCCAUUUUUGCAAUUCAGACACAUAAAUUAAACCAAUAAACAUGGAAAAAACUGAAUCUUUUUCAACAAACGUACAAAAAAUCCACAAAAUUAGUUGAUAAAAGUAUGAUGCGUACAGCAAGUGGAAAAGAGCUCAAAUAUUAUGAACCGAAUGAAUGAAUCUCUUUUGUUUUGUAAAUAUUCAAAGAACCCACCGAGCUAUUUGACAAAAGUAUGAUUUACUCAAUAAAUGACCACAAGCUCAAAUAUCCUAAGGAAAAUCAACGAAAUCUACUAAAAGUUCAUAUUCUUAUAGUAAAAAGGGAAACAACAAGCUUGAGCAAGAUACUGGCUAAAAGAAGCAAUAAGAAUAGAAGAUAAAACUCUAUCUUUGCAAUUCAGACACAUAAAUUAAACCAGGUGGUAUCUUUGACCCUCUAAAACAAGGUAAAAACUAAUCUUUUUAAACAAUAUGCAAGCCUCCAUAACAUUAGUUGACAAAAAUAAGCAAAGAUACAAGCUCUAGAAACAUAAUAACUAAAAGGACCAACAAAAACAGAAAGUCUAAGAAACCAACUUGAGAUACCAGCAGUACAAUACACCUAAGCAAAGAUCAUACCACGAAAAGUCCAAGCAACACACAGUAUAUAAACCAGGUAGCAUAUUUUGACCUUCUAAAACAAGGCAAAAACUAAAUCUUUUUAACUAAUAGUUGCCUCAUCAAACAACAUAACGCCUAUUACUUCAAACAGAUUCCUACGGCCAACGAGGCAUCUUCAACAAACAAACCAGCAUACAUAUUAGUGAAGAUUUAUUCGCAAUUACAAAAGGUUGAGAUGGAUCAAAAGCAAUCGAAAGCUCAACGAAAUGGAAUAUUACCUGUUCAGGAGCAGCAAAAUGGGACAACGAGUUAAUCGUUGGGAGGUCGAUUACCACUACUUCAACGAUUCCAACAAACUCGACGGCUUCUAAACUUUCACUAAAAUAGAGAAAUUUGUUUACUGAUUUUUUCUCCAAAUGAUUUUUUCUCCCUUUUCCCCUUUUUUUCUUUCUUUUUUCUUUCAAGUUUUUGAACCCUCCUUCAGCUCCACAUCGGGUCGCUUAUAUAGAGGACAAAUUGGGGGAUUCCUCCUCAGCCUUGAACGAUCGAAUUAGUACUCAAAUUGGGGGGUGUUUUUGGGAUUCUUUUAAAAGAUGAAUUCAAAAUUUAAACUUAGAUAAGGUUGCCUCCCUCAAUUUUUUUCCCAAUUUGGAUUUUCUCCCCCCAAAUUCGGAAUAGGUAGCCAAUAGGAAUGAGGAAACAAAAAAUCUCUCAUGAACCAAUGAGAGUUGGUCAAAUACGUACGAAUUCGUAUGAAUUAUCCUGAGAUUCACGGGAUUUGGACGUUGGAUAGGACACAUAAUCAAUCUUCUAGAAAAUUCGAGGUUGGCGAUAUGUUGGUUCGGGUUGGAUUUGGUCGCCAUCAUUGUUGGGUUUCUGGAUCGGGUGACGGGUUGACGGAUUUGGGAAUUAUUCGAAUUUGGGUUUUUGAGGUUGUUGAUAUUGUUAUUUGGUUGAAGCUGUACGUUGAAGUUGGUGUCGUAUUAUGGAGUUGGGUUUUGUACGUUGAAUUAUUGGUUUUGUUAUUUGGGGAGAUACAACAAUUAGGUCGGGUCGAAUAGAUAGGGAUUGAGCCGGUUUAUGGUGGAGGUUGUUUGUUUAAUAAAGAGAAAAUGGGCCAAGUUGUAAAUUGGGUUGGAAGAAUUUGGACCUGGUGGGCUAUUUGGUGGGCAAAUUUGGGCUUGGACGAAUUGGGUGAAAUCGAGGUUAUUUAAUAACCCCAAUUAGAUUUAAUUGGGUCAAAAUAAUCCCAAUUAAAUUUAAUUAGAUUAAAAUAACCCGAAUUAAAUUUAAUUUGGUAAUUUAGAACCAUUUAGAAAAAUCUCAAUUAGACUACAGGUUAUUCAAAAAUAACUUCAAUUAAGAUUUAGCCCAUUCUAUUUAAAUUUUGACCAAAUUAAAAGUUAAUUGGCCAAUUGCAUUGCAAUUGUGGUCAAUUUAGUUUCAAUUAUGAUCAAAUUUAAUAGAUUGAUUAAAUUGUAUUGAAAUUCGAUACGAAUUAAUACCUUGUCUAAUCUUGAGUUUCUCAAUUUAAUAAAAUCAAACAAAUAUAUUUAUUUAUUAUUUUAUUAUUUUCAGAUAAGUUAUUUUCAAGAACACUUGACAUUUAAAUUAGGGUUUUAAUCAUUUAAAUUUAUUUUCAAGAUAAACUUUGAUUAGGUCUAAUAUUUCAUAAAACAAAUAUUUAAGUAACCAAAUUAUAUAAUCUCGUAUAAUUGGAUACGAUAAUAUAUAAUCGCUACUUAAAAUAAUAAAAUCACCCCGAUAAACACUUUGAAAAGCUUUUAUUGAGAUGAAAUAAAUGUUUUGAUUUUAUUAAAAAUCGAAGAAAUUCAGGAUUAAAUUUAGUUGUAGAGGCAAAAAUUAGGAGUCAUAUUUGUAUUGAUUAGAAAGAAAUGGUAGCAGAUUAAAUGUAUCCAUUUUUUAUGUAACAACUAAUACACAUUGAAUUGAAUUACAUAUUAAAUUUAUUUAUUUAUUUAUUUAUUUAUAAUUAUAUAAUAGAAAAAAUGAGAAAAUAAAUAAAUGUGAAUAGUGGCUUUAGAAGCAUGCCACAUCAUCAACUUCAUAUCAUUUCUUUUUAUACACACACAUAUAGAGAGAGAGACAGAGAGAGCUUAAACACAAGAUAAAAUAAAUUUAUCUUUAGAAGGGAAAAAGUUACUGAAAAGAGAAAGUCACGUUAAUAUUGAUUAGAUAAAAAUGGUAGCAGUUUAAAUAUACCGUUUUUUAUUUAGCAAUAAAUACACAUUAAAUUGAAUUACAUAUUAAAUUUUUUCAUUUAUUAAUUUAUAAAGAUAAAAGUUAUAAAAGUUAAAAAAGUGAGAAAAAAGAUAAAUAUGAAUAGUGACUUUAGAAGCAUGCUACAUCAACACACACUCAUAUAUAUAUAUAUAUAUAUAUAUAUAGAGAGAGAGAGAGAGAGAGAGAGAGAGAUUACAUACAAGAUAAAAUAAUUUUACCUUUUGAUUUCAAAAUUAUUAUUUCUCAUACUAUCAACCUACACUGAAAGUUCUUUCUAAAAAGAAUAAUAAGUCUUUAAUGUAUAGUUACCGAUACUAAUAGAACGAAAAUAAAAUGUACUACGAGCUCCAAACAUUUUUUAAAAGUUUUCAUUCAAGAUACAUAUACACACAAAUAAAAACAUAUAUUCCUUAGUAAGAAAAGUAUCAAAUGUAUUGAAGCUUCUUUAGAGAUUCAAAGAGAUGACAAACAUCUCUUCCCCCCCCCCCCUCAAAACUCUCCAUCACUCACACACGGUAAGGUAGUAGACUGACUUGAGGUCAAACAAAGAAUGGUUAAUAGGUCCAAGUACCUCAACAUCACCAUAUAUCUUUAGAAAAGAUGAGCAACCUUCUUCAUAAGGUAUAAUCCUCCUAGAAUAUCAACCUUCUUCAUAAGGUAUAAUCCUCCUAGAAUAUCUACUAACACGUGGAUUGACGAGAACAAUCUCCUCCCUUUCUCCCCAUUCACCAGUUGCAUUAAAUAUCAUUAGUUGAACAUUCACUCCAACUUAUGGUACAGAUAGCCCAAUACCAUCAGUUCUGCAUAAAACAAAGCAAGCAUCCUUUAUAGUACUCUGAAUAACAAGCUUUCCUUAUAAAAAAAAAUUAUGUAAUGUCUACUAACUACGACAUCGAUAAUUAAGAUUAUUCCUUAUGCUAGAGUAUUCCUUCUACGACAUCAAUGUUCUAAGUGCUCUUCAUUCCUUUCCUGUAUUCAUGUUACAUUUUCAAACCUUUUUUGUUUGUGUUUCUACAGUUUUUUGGGAUUUUAAGUAGAAGUCAUGUGACUUCUAGGAUUAGUAACAAUACUUCCUUUAAUAGUUGUGCAAUUAUGUUGAGAAUUAAUGAGGUGAUGAAAUGCAAAAAAAAAAAUGAGGAAAAAGAAAAUUUUAAUUUUUUAAAAUUAAAAAAUGGCAAAAAAGUACAAAAAAGGAUAAAUAGUUUUGGAGACCUCUGAGACAUGCCACAUAGGAUUGUCUAAGAGUCUCCUUUAUAUAUAUAUAUAUAUAUAUAUAUAUAUAUAUAUAUAUAUAUUAAAGUGAACUAAAUAAUAAUUAAAUCUAAUACACCUUAAACUCUUGAAACAUGGCUUGUUUAGAGAUUGUUGGAAUGUCCCACCACUCGUGCCAAGGAUAUGUAAAAAGUCUUAUAACACUCUCCCUUACAGCCUCAUUACUUCUUUUGACACGGGAUACCACCUGUAAAUAACAUAAUAAGUAUGUAAGCUUGAAUAUUUUAUUAAUGAAAUAAAUAAACCUAUCAAUUGAAAAAUAAACUUACGAAGAUCCAUCAGGCUCGAUGAACACUCUACCAAGCAUGUCUAUAUCUCCAGGAACUAGACCAAUCAAAUCUGCAUCAAUAUCUUCUUCUACAGGAGAGGGUGGGGGAGAAGGUAGGGGUAGAGGUGGAGAUGGUGGUGACAUGAUCAUUUUGAAGUCACUAGUACACAUUUCAAAACACUACACUUAACCAUUUUCAAGUCAUGAAUUCACAUUUUAAGUGACAAUGCAAACCAUUUUCAAGUAAUGAAUUGACAUUUCAAGUGACAACACUAAACCAAUUUCAAGUUAUGAAUUCACAUUUUCAAAUGAUUACACUUUACUAAUUUCAAAACACAAGUUCAUCUUUCAAGUAACUACACUAAACCAUUUUCAAGUCCCUAAUUCACUUCUCAAGUGACUACACUUGAUUAAUUUGAAGUCACUAGUACACAUUUCAAAACACUACACUUAACCAUUUUCAACUCUCUAAUUCAUUCUCAAGUGACUAAACCAUUUUUAAUUCAUGAAUUCACAUUUCAAGUAUCAACACUAAACCAAUUUCAAGCCAUGAAUUCACAUUUUCAAGUGAUUACACUUUAAAAUUUUCAAAACAUAAGUUCACCUUUAAAAAACUACACUAAACCAUUUUCAGGUCCGCUAAUCCACUUUUCAAGUGACUAGAACACAUUUCAAAACACUACACUUAACCAUUUUCAACUCUCUAAUUCAUUCUCAAGUGACUAAACCAUUUUUAAUUCAUGAAUUCACAUUUCAAGUAUCAACACUAAACCAAUUUCAAGCCAUGAAUUCACAUUUUCAAGUGAUUACACUUUACAAAUUUCAAAACACAAGCUCACCUUUCAAGAACUAUACUAAGCCAUUUUCAAGUCGCUAAUCCACUUUUCAAGUGACUAGUACAUAUUUCAAAACACUACACUUAACUAUUUUCAACUCUCUAAUUCACAUUUCAAGUGAUUAAGCAUAACCAUUUUCAAGUCAUGAAUUCACAUUUCAAGUGUCAACUCUAAACCAAUUUCAAGUCAUGAAUUCACAUUUUCAAGUGAUUACAUUUAACUAAUUCCAACACACAAGUUAAUCUUUCAAGUAACUACACUAAAUCAUUUUCAAGUCGCUAAUCCACUUUUCAAUUGACUAGUACACAUUUCAAAACACUACACUUAACCAUUUUCAACUCUCUAAUUCACAUUUCAAGUGAUUAAGCAUAACCAUUUUCAAGUCAUGAAUUCACAUUUUCAAGUGAUUACAUUUAACUAAUUCCAACACACAAGUUAAUCUUUCAAGUAACUACACUAAAUCAUUUUCAAGUCGCUAAUCCACUUCUCAAGUGACUAGUACAUAUUUCAAAACGCUACACUUAACCAUUUUCAACUCUCUAAUUCACGUUUCAUGUGACUAAACUUAAUCAUUUUCAAGUCAUGAAUUCACAUUUUAAGUAUCAACACUAAACCAAUUUCAAGUCAUGAAUUCACAUUUUCAAGUGAUUACACUUUACAAAUUUCAAAACAUAAGUUCACCUUUCAAGAACUACACUAAACCAUUUUCAAGUCGCUAAUCCACUUUUCAAGUGACUAGUACACAUUUCAAAAUACUAUACUUAACCAUUUUCAACUCUCUAAUUCACAUUUCAAGUGACUUCAAUUAACACCCAAGCGAAUAAGAAUUUCAAAAUUGAAAGCAGCACAUAGACAUGGUGAAUUAAGGUUAAUGUUGAUAGAAUUUAGGGCUUUUAACGUAUGUCAAUUAAAUAGAGUAAAAUAAACACAAGCUUAAACUAAUCAAGUAAAAAACAUCGCAAAAUAUCAGCUAUUUAAUUCACAUGUAAUAGUCUGUAAAAAGGAAUAGCAGAAGAUGAUAAUAGCAAAUUGACUUGAAUUUAUAUAGAGAAACAAACCUGGGACGGAUUCGGAGAAUCCAUCAUGAACUCCAACUUUUCCCAGUGACAUUUAGUCGACAAUAACGGUGGUGGCAGCGGCUGUUGGUGGCGCAGCUUGCUUCACCGAAAAAAGAUUUUGCCGGCCAACCGGCUAGAGCGACGAUUGGUGGCUGGUGGAGCAGGUUCGUCGACGCUGGUUUGCCGAAGAAGGGAGAUAAUAGAGAAGGCAGUGGAUUGGCGGUUGAUUCAGUUGCUGGUAAGAUUAACCAGCGGGAGAAGAUAACGUGAGAGGAGGAGAUGCCUGUUUCGCCGGCUGGUUGCCGGCCGACAGAGGGGACAAUGAUUUUUUGUUGGUUUAGAGAGAGAAAAGAGAGGAGUAGGUGACUGAUUUUUGGGUGAGGGAUUAGGGUUUGGUAUUUUGUAUAAAAGAAAAUAAAAGGGUGAUGGAGUCUCAGUUGUUGGAUCAAUUUUGAUCAACGGCUGAGAUUAAAAUUACUUUAAAAAGGGGUCAAAAUGGAAUGAAUAUCAAUUUGGUUAAAAUUGACAUUAAUUGUGUACAAGAUGGCUAGAAAAUAAACACAUUAAGAAAUUGAAUUGAAUUGAAUUAGGCCCGCUAUUUUAAUAAAUGUGAUAAUGAUGAGAAAAAUAAUAAGACAUCGACAUCAAAAUAAAUUAAGCAUGUAAAAAUUAAUGUUAUAUAAAAUUAUCGAUAGUAGUAAUAAUAAAGACAAUGCAUUUGUAAGUUGUGAGUGUGCACAUUUACGUAAAAAUAAAUAAAUAUAAAUAAAAAUUAUGUAAAAUGUCGGAUUUGAAUUAAUAAAUUGUGAAAAAUGAUAAUUUAAUAAAUGUGAAAAUUACGAGAAAAAUAGUAAGACAUCAAUAUUAAAAUAAACUAAGCAUGUAAGAAUUAAUGUUACAUAAAAUUACUAUAUAAAAUACGAGCCUGAGAGAGGUAUCGCAAGGUCAAAAUUAGGUGUCAACACAAUUAAACCGAUUAAGUCCCACAAAUUAGGUCUGUGGAGGGUAAAGUGUACGCAGACCUUCUCGAAAACCUAUUCAAGCUUGAAAAUUCUUAUAAAAUAAAACACAUCAUGUAAGAUUUAAGAUUUCAUUUUUUUUCUUGUUAAUUAGUUACUGUUAUUUCUAUUUUAUGCAUAUUUUUUAUUGGUUAAACGGAAAAUCGAACCGUUAAGGACUAAAAACCGAUAAAUCAAAAAACGAUUAAAAAAACAUCUUAUUGAUUUGAUUAUUGGUUUAACAUAUUUAAAAAUAAAUAACUGAUAAACCAAACCGAUAAUAUGUAAAAUCAAACCGAACCGAUUGAUGCACACUACUAAUUUAAAAAAAAAAUAGUGAAAAUUGAUUUAAUAUUGACCGUUGAUCAAAUAUGAUAAAUGGUUGAGAUUAAAAUUGAGGAGAUGAGUCAAAUUGGGAUUAGAAAUUUGGUUAAAAAAAGAUUGAAUUGGAGAUUAUUGUAGGUUAAUUAGCUUCAUUAUUAGAACUUCAAUAGUGUAUUACUACCUCGAUCAUAUGAUAUUAACGUAUUAUUCAAAAUAUUUGGAUAUAUAGAUUCAAUUAGCUAGCUUUUAACUAUUAUGUACAUCACUAUACGAGAGAUACGUAUUUAUAUGUACAUACAUACAUACAUAUAUAUAUAUAUAUNNNNNNNNNNNNNNNNNNNUAUAUAUAUAUAUAUAUAUUUGAUUGACUAUCAACGUUGUAAUAUGUAUUAUAUACAUCACAUACACGAGUAUAUUACCUCGUAAUACAACGUAUUUUAUUUAUACUCUGGUGAAUUAUCGUUUAAUUUAACUUACAUUAUUAUAUUAUAACUUGAACAAUAUAUUAUUACCUUGAUCAAUUGAUCGUAUGAUAUCAAUGUAUUUAAUAUAUAUAGUUGAUUGACUAUAAAUUUAAAAUAUGUACUAUAUACAUCACAUACAAAUGUAUAUUACCUCGUAAUACAACAUAUUUCAUAUAUACUUUGAUGAAUUAUCAUUUAAUUUAGCUUAUAUUAUUAUAUUAUAACUUCAAUAGUAUAUUAUUAUCUUGAUCAAUCGAUCACAUGAUAUCAAUGAAUUCAAUAUAUAAUUGAAUACAUUUAAUUUUUUAAAUAUAAAAAUUAUUUAUUUAAUAGUAAACUAAAAAUAUCAAACAUCGACGGACAACGUCGUUUUCAUAAAGUUGAUUUUAUUUAUUUUUUAACAAAAGUGACACUGUCCGUCACUUUUUGUAAAAAGUAUGAAAAAAUAAAAAAAUUGCGACGAAUAGUGUCGCUUUUCUAUAAUUAAUAAUUUAAAAAUAAAAAUUAUAGCGACGUUGUUCGUCGAUUUUAAUAAAAAUUAAAUUUAAAAACCGACGAAAAACAUCGCUUUUCAAAAAAUUAAUUUUUAUUUAGUUUUAUAAAAAGCGACGUUGUCCGUCGCUUUUUGUAAAAAAUAAAGAAAAAUAAAAAAUAAUUAUAAAUUGCGACGGACAGCGUCGCUUUUCUAGAAUUAAUAUUUUAAAAAAUAAAAAUUAUAGCGACGUCGUCCAUAGAUUUUAAUAAAAAUAAAUAAAAAUAAAAAUAAAAUUUAAAAAGCGACGGACAACGUCUCUUUUCAAAAAAAUAUUUUUUAUUUAGUUUUAAUAAAAGCGACGUUGUCCGUCACUUUUUAUAAAAAAUAAAAAUAAUUACCAAUUGCGACGAACAAUAUCGCUUUUCUAGUAUUAAUAUUUUAAAAAAUAAAAAUUAUAGCAACGUUGUUCAUCGCUUUUAAUAAAAAUAAACAAAAAUAAAAAUUAAAUUUAAAAGCAACGAACAACGUUGCUUUUUAAAAAAUUAAUUUUUAUUUAGUUUUAACAAAAGCGACGUUGUUCGUCGCUUUUUGUAAAAAAUAAAAAUAAUUACAAAUUACGACGAACAACGUCGCUUUUCUAGAGUUAAUAUUUUAAAAAAUAAAAAUUAUAGCUACUUUGUUCAUAGCUUUUAAUAAAAAUUAAAUUUAAAAAUCGAUGGACUACGUCACUUUUCAAAAAAAUAAUUAUUAUUAUUUUUAAAUAAAUUCCGACGCUAUCCGUCGCAUUUACUAAAAAAUUAUAAAUUAUUUUUUAAUUAGUUGGCACAAUAAUCCGCGAAAAAAACAAUGGAUAUUAAGAUAUUGGCCCGUCGAUUUUAAUAAAAAUAAAUAAAAAUCAAAAUUAAACUAAAAAAGCGACGGACAAUAUCGCUUUUCUCAUUGCUUUUUAAAGAGACACAGUUCGUCGUUUUGUGGCCCUUUUUUAGUAGUGUAUCAGUACCGUUAUUCACGUUGGUGAUGGAUGUAUUGAUACGACAUAUUGAAGGGAAAGUGUUUUCUUUUAUCUUAUUUGCUAAUGAUGUAGUGCUUAUUGACGAGACUUGAAGAGCAAUUAAUGAUAAUUUGGAGGUAGAUCCCAUAGUCUAAAAUGUUUAGGUUAAGUAGGAUCAAAACAAAGUACUUAGAGUGUAAGUUUAGUGAUUUAACACAUGAGACUGACGUGGUAGUGAAGUUGAAUUCUCAGGUCAUUCGGAAGAUAGAUAGUUUCAAGUCUUGGAUCUAGAUUUAGGGGAAUGGAGAGAUUGUCGAGGAUGUCAUGCACUGCAAUAUAGUUGAAAUAGAGGCUCGCUUCGAGAGUCGUGUGUGAUAAGAAUGUGUCACUUAAAUUUAAAGGUAAGUUCUACAAAGUGACAGUCUGAUCGGCUAUACUGUAUGGAGAGGAGUUUUGGCUAGUUAAGAACUACCACGUACAAAAAUUGAAAGUGACAGAGAUGACAAUAUUGAGAUGGACGUGCAAAUUUAUUAGGAGAGAUAGGAUUAAAAAUGAUAUUAUUCGAGACAAGGUGGUGUGACUUUGGUGGAAGAUAGGAUGAAGAAAGUGAGGUUGAGAUAGUUUGGACAUGUGAUUGAGGUGGUACACUAAUUUCCCAGCACGGAGGUGUGAGAGACUUACGAUGGAUGAUUUUAGAUGGGGUAGAGGUAGACCGAAUAAAUAUUGGAGAGAAGCGAUUAGGUAUGACAUGAAGUAGUUAUAGCUUAUAGAGAACAUGACUCUUAAUAGAAAAGUGUGGAGGAUGCAAAUUAGGAUAGAAGGUUAGUGGUAGGAGUGUGUCCUAGUAAGGAGGAGUAUUUUGUUUGUCGAUUUACCUAUAAUAUAAUGUUAUGCAUAUGUUUUGUAGCUUUUUAUUCGUGGUGUUUUGGGGAUAUUUGUAAUUUUGGAUAGAUAAAUCAUAGUAUUAUUAUUUCUUUUAUUAUCUUGUAGUGUUUACCAUUUUUUGUUGUUAGUUUUUAUGUUCUCUGCUUGGUAAACUAUUAUUUGUCAUGGGUCGGGGUUCAUCGAAAAUAAUCUCUCUACUUCACAUGAGGUAGUGGUAUGAACUACGCACAUUAUAAUCUUUUUAGACCCCACUUGGUGGGAAUACAUUGGGUAUAUUAUUGUUGUUGUACUAUAUCAUUAUUGUAUCAAAUUAAUUCGAUAUGAUUCGAUAUUUUAAAGUUUAAUUUCAGUAUUUUACAAUAUGGUAAAUCAUUGAUUAAUAUACAAUACAACAACAUAUCCAUUAUAUUCUUACAAACUAGGAUUUGAGGAUGAUAAAGUAUACAUUGUCCGUACACCACCACAUAGGUGAGUAGAGAGACUACUUUUGAUAGACACAAGCUCAAGACUAGUACAAUAUAGAAAAGAGAUGUAAUAGAGGUACAAAAGAUAAUAAGAAGCAACACAACAAUAAAUAAUAACAAAAUAAUACCAAAAGCAAAAAUUUAUCAACAGAGAAUUCAAGAAUAAGAAACUACAAGCAUAACACUACAAUUACUAAUAAGAACACCACUUCUCUCUAUUAGCAUAGAGACACUCGAACAUCUUAACCUCUACCCUUAUUCGUGUUUGACACACUUUCUAUUUUAGGUCAUGUACCCAACAAGUUGCAAACACACCGUAUCUUAUUUAAUCACUUUUUCCAAUAUUUCUUCUAUGUAUGUAUAUCUCUCCUGAGUCCAUUCAUAGUUAGUCUUUCACAGUUCCAAUGUCCAAACGUUUAGCAGAUUUCAAAUAUGGGCCUAAAAAAAUUAUCGUUGACAAAGAGCCCAGAAUCGAGCGCAGAUUUUUGGUAGCAGUUAGGGCGCACGUUCCUUACUUGCACCCCAAAUUCCGAUUCCAGCCCGCCAAUUUAAAACGACAUCAGAAUCGAUCGAUCGACCAUCACUUUCCCUCGUCGGCAAACUUCCCCCGAUCUCCUUCUCCGGCGAAUACUUUUUGUACGUUCCUCUGUUCUCUAUGCUCGUUCUGUCUAUCUCCAUUUUUCACAUAUAUGAUUCAUUGCUUCGUAAGUGACCAGCAAACCCUACUUUCUUCAUUUUUAAAUAAAUGGUUCAUUUUGUUUCGAAAUAAGUUAUUUCAAUUUUAAUCUUCGUGACCAAGAAAAUAUUGAAUAACUGGGCCAAGCUAAAAGCGCCACUUAUUUAGGAAGGGCGGAAGUACUUUUUUUUUUUUUUUCAUAUGACUUGCAAUGGCAGAAAUUGAUAAAGAAAUGGAGAUUGCCCAAGACCAUAUAAGGAGACCAAUGACCCUUUAACUCACCAAUGUGGGACUCCAACACCCCGCACACCCACGAUUGGACAUUUGGAGCGGGGACAAUAUAAGACGGGGGCCCAACAUCGGAAACGAUGAACUGGGUGGGUCUGACUUUGAUACCAUGAUAAAGAAAUGAACCUUGGGCCUAACUCAACCUCAAAAGCUAGCUCAUGGAGACCAAGGACCUUUAACCGAUGUGGGACUCCAACAGAAAUUAGUUUUUUGUUUGUUCUUUGAUUUUCUUGCAUGUUAAUUUGCUUUCUUGUUUCCUUUCAUGUGACAAUUGCUACAAAGUUCUCGUCUUUUAUUGAUCCACUCUGAAGUAUUAUUAAUCAAUUUUAUGAAUAUUAUUCUAAGGAGAAGGUAAAAUAAGUGAUUACACCUUAAUAUAUGAUUUUUGAUUUUAUACUUCUAACUCUUACAAAAUUCUUCAAAAUCGAGUUUAUCCCCUCACGUAUUAUUAAUCAAUUUGACUCAUUUUUCAAAUGUUGGUCUGGAAGUUAAAAUAUGCAGUUUUGGUAAUUGGGACUUAUUAAUGUUGGUUCCUGAAUAGUCGUGCCUCAAUUCCAAUAUUAAUAAGUCCAAUAUUAACUGGCUAAGAAUAGACAUAUGUCAAAUAAUUAGAAGUUCCCAUAUGUUGGAGAAGGGGAGUUGGUCAGGCUGAUUAUCUGCUUAGUUUCGAACCUUGUACCAUUGACCUCGGGGAUUCUUGGUUAUUGGAAGUUAGUAAAUGUUGCCACCCAAGGGUGUGGCCUAGUAGUUCAAUGAAGUUGGUUUGAGCACCAUAGGUUCAAUUCCUAACAGAGACAAGCAUUAGGUGAUUUCUUCCCAUCAGUUAUAGCCUUGGUGGACAGAGUUACUUGGUACCCGGUGUUGGUGGGAGGUGGCAGGUAUCCAGUGGAAUUAGUCAUGGUGCGCGCAAGCUGGAUCAGAAACCACAGUUAUCAAAAACAAAGAAGUUAGUAAAUGUUCAUACAGUCUAUGAUAUUUCAACAAAGAUGAGUUUUUUUAAUUAUAGAACACUAGUUACUCUUUUCUCUUUUAGAUCAGUAAGACGGAAACAUUGAAGGGGAGCCUUGGAGUAACUAGUAAAGUUGCUGCCAUGUGACCAGGAGGUCACGGGUUCAAACCUUGGAAAGUGAGAAUAGCCUCUGGCAGAAAUGCAAGGUAAGGCUGCGUACGAUACACUCUUGUGGUGGGGACCUUCCCCGGACACCGCGCAUAGUGGUAGCUUUAGUGCACCGGGCUGCCCUUUUUAUCGGUAAGACUGAAACAGACCUCAGACUUUACAGUAAGAAAAAUUGCUUGUCCCAUAACUAAUAAGUAUAUAAAGAAGACAGGAUUCUCUUUAGCCCAAGCCAAUGGGAACCAAACCAGAAAAUUUGACGUGCUCCGCCCAGACAAAAGGAAAAAUGGCUCAACUAUGAAGUACCUUGUAAUAGGUAUAGUAAAGAAAAAAUUUGUAUAUAAUUAGUUAUAUAUAUCACCUGAUUGAGUACACUGGACUGAUUCAGAUAUAAGGGCAUUUAGAAGUAUUGAUUUCAAUAACUGAAAUUAUAAAUGGUUGGUAAUAAUUAUUUAUGUCCAAAUUAUAUGAUAGUCUUUCCAUCUUGGGGGAUUCCCGAAUGAAUGAAUGCCAAUUCAUUGGUAUACCGUUUUCGUAACCUCCAAGUACUGAAAUUCAAAAAUAUGUGGCGACGUUUACACUUAUCAACCUAAUUCUUCAACCAAUGCUAUGUUAUUUUUCCACUAUCACUAAUGUAACAGAUAGGCCAGACUUUUCGUAUUUAAGUGAUCAAGAUUAAUUGAUCUAAUUCGUUAUGUCCAAAUUAUAUGAUAGUCUUUCCAUCUGGGGAGAUUCCCGAAUGAAUGAAUGCCAAUCCAUUGGUAUACCGUUUUCGUAACCUCCAAGUACUGAAAUUCAAAAAUAUGUUGCGACGUUUACUCUUAUCAACCUAAUUCUUCAACCAAUACUAUGUUAUUUUUCCACUAUCACUAAUGUAACGGAUAGGCCAGACUUUUCGUAUUUAAGUGAUCAAGAUUAAUUGAUCUAAUAUAGAGGCAAAAACUAGGUGAUUUCUUCCAUCUGUCCAAGCCAUGGUGGAGUUACCCUGUACUUGUGCUAGUGGGAGGUAAUAGGUACUUGGUGGAACUAUUCAAGGUGUGCACAAGUUUGUCAGGACCCCAUGGUUAUUUAAAAAAAAAUAGAUCAAACUGAUUUAAGAUACCACUAAAAUCUGCCAAUCAAAAUGGACGCUUAAGAUAAUAGUUUAUGAAAAUAGUGCAGUGGGAGUUACACUUCCCUUUUCUCGAUCUCGAGUUCAAAUGUGUAGCCAUGCAGGGUUUACUAUUUGUUAAUUUUCUAUUCCAAAAUUUGCAUCGCCUUUUCUAUUAAUAAUUUUUUUCUUCAUAACUCGUGUUUUGGGACUCUGGAUAAAUUUUCAAAAUCUAAUCUCUCAAUUACAAUCAGUGUUAAUCCACCUUAUGGAUGGAACUGCGCUUCAGUGAAAGUUGGAGGUUCUUACAUAACUGACAAACUCUGGCUUCUUGUUGUAUGUGAUUCACCAGGUCCUCUCCUUCAAGAUCUGCAUAUCUAAAUGUAUGCACUUUCAACUGAAGAUUCUGUUACGAAGAGUGCAGAAUUGAUAUCCAAGAGGAAGAGAAAAACCGCGAGAUACAGGGCUAACAGAAAGGAAAGAAAGCAAAGGUUGGAUCAAAUGCUGAAAAAUGUGUCGGCUCCUAAAAGUGAAGAAAGUUCCGUUGAGGAUGUUGCUAGUUUAGAGAAUUCAAAUUCACAAUUGCUUCCUCUAGGACAUCUCGAAAUACAAACAGAAUCGGCCCCAACUCUCUUGGAAAAGACUCCUGUUAAGAAAAAGAGAAGAAAGAAAAGAAGUGUGAUGAAGGCGUUGAACAAAGAAGUUGACCCUUGUAGCAUGGAUCAGAACAAUGUUCCCUCAAAUCCCAGCCUGCCUGAUAAAAAACAUGGAGAAGUAGAAAAUGGUUUACUCAAUCCAAAUAUUUCCAUUGAAGACGUGGCUAGUUUAGAGAAUUCUGAUGCUCAAUUGCUUCCUCUAGGACAUCAAGAAAUACAAACAGAAGCGACCACAACUCUUUUGGAAAAGGGUCCUGUUAAGAAAAAGAAGAGGAGGAAAAGAAAAUUGAUGAAGGCGUUGAACAAGUCAGAGUUAGUCAUGCAAGUUAAUUCGGCUCCCAUAACUCCAGGUGACUUAUGCAUGAUGACUGGUCGUCGUUUGAGGAGAAAACUUCUCAUCCUUGAUGUUAAUGGGCUACUUGCUGAUAUCGUCAAUCCACCCCCAAAAGACUGUAAUCCUGAUGCAUGUUUCGCAAGACGGGCAAGUGAGAAUACUUUUUAUUUAAUUGCUUAAAUGGUCUUUCGAGCAUCAUUCACAAGAUGAAGAAACACAUGGUUCUUACACAAAGAUACUUGUCUCUUUUGUUUGCAGUAUUCAAGAGACCCUACUGUAAUGAUUUUCUGAAAUUUUGUUUUGAAAGAUUUGACGUGGGCAUCUGGUCUUCUAGAUCCAAGUAAUUCUUGAUUUUGAAAUGCUUCUUGAGUUUCUGUCAUUUUCCUGACUUGAUCUUUUAUGUUUACCCCUGUUAAUGAUGUAAGUCUAAUGCAUUUUAUGAUUUUACUUGGGCAUAAACGUUAACCAGAUUAUAUGUUUGUGCAGGAAGAUCAUUGUUAAAGUGGUUGAUUAUUUAUUGGGAAACAUGAAGCACAAGUUGCUAUUUUGUUGGGUAAGCAUUCUUCCUUUCAGAAAUAGUUAUAUAUGCUCCUCCUAGUAGUACCUUUAAAUUCUUCCUCCAAGCAGCAGGAAAGUGACAAUAAGAAAAGCAAAGAAAAAGGAGUAUGUUUCCCUAUCAUUAUUUUUCUUUGCUUGGGGAAAGAUUUAAUUUCCUUUGUGAUCAUUUGGCCAUGAUCUUCGCUGAUGCUUAAGGAUCUCUGCCGGAUUGUCAUGGCUCUGAUGGAUCAUUGUGAUUUUAUAAUUCUUUGCUAGCAUGAGGCUAAUAUUACCUACUGCAUGAACACAUGGCCUGUUUUUUCCCCUUUUGUAUUUAAUGUUUUGAAUGUAUUACAAACUGCAUGAGCACAUUGGUUGUUUUCCUCUCUUUGAAAUGAAAGAAGGGGGAUGGAAAGUUAUAUUCGACUUCCUUCUUGUAACUAUACUGGCCCUAGUUCAUUUAUAUUGUUUGCCUCUGCAUUUUAUCGGAUAUGUUACUUGCCCAUGCCCUUGGCAAUGACUGCAAAUUGUGAUAGAAACCACCUUUGUUGUAAGGUGGGAGAGGAGGUUACUGGUGAGUAUUUACCUCCGUAUGUUGCCCUGCUAGAACUUUCUUAACCAAAGGUUAGUUCAUUCUUUUCUUCUCUCUCAGCCCAACCAUUAGUAAAAUGGAAAGGAAAAGAAGAAGAAUAGUGAGCCCGCUGUCACAACAUGAUACUUCUCUUUGACCAGUGAUUUGUGGAUGUGUGUGGUUAUAGAUAGUUUGGUCUUCUCAUUUACUGUUGGCACCUCCCUCUAAGAAUAAUCAGUUUCUAUUUUCUAAAUAUCACAGGAUAUGUCGCAUAGCACUCAGACAAUGUUCAAGACUCUUGAGAACAAGCAUAAGCCCUUGGUUUGCAAGGAGCUAAGCAAGGUGUGGGACAGAUAUGAUCCCAAUCUACCCUGGGAAAGAGGGGAUUAUGAUGAAUCAAAUACUUUAUUAUUGGAUGAUUCUCCCUACAAGGCCUUGUUAAAUCCGGUAAGCUUUACACCGCCCUAAUUUUGGUUGCAAGGCUACUCUUCAAAUGAUUCCUCCUGACUUGGUACUUCUUUUUGUGAUUGUAACUACAUUAUGCAUGACCUUGUUCGUCAGGUUCACACUGCAAUAUUUCCUCUUUCUUACCACUACAAGGUCGAGAAUGAUAAUUCACUAGGUGAGACCCCUUUGUCUGGUACUACUUAAUACUUGACCUUUUAUGUACAUAAGACUAUAUACAGUCUUUUGAAAAAAGAUGCUGUAAGGAGGAAUUUCAUAAAUCAUCUCAUUUCUAAUCUACCGCACCCUGAAUUCAGUCAGCUUACAAAAAAGCUAGCUUUGUCAUACCUAAGCCUAAUGUUGGACAUUUGACCCUGGUCUAAUUGAAAAGGGCCCUUAAUGUCUUAAGGUAAGACUUAGGAAGGUAUAAUAGUAGUGAGUUAUUUGCACUUCAGCUUCGUCCAGAAUCUGAUUUGUUGAGUUUAUAGCCUGCUUCAACUUGAGGUUGGUUGUAUUGCCUAUUGUCAGCAUGUUGGUCCCUAAUUCUGAGUCCAGAUCCAACCAAAUCUUGUUAUAUCCCUGCUGUACGCACCAUUUGACUCUCUUCUUUGCUGCAAAAGUUUCUGCAAAGUUGUUGCUACUACACUACAAAGAAAGAGAGAGAGCCAUAAUUAGAUCACCAUUAUAGUUCCUAACACCUAAGUACUCCUCCAAUACAUGCUCUGCCUGUGGCUUGAAAGAAGCUACCAUCUGUACUGAUUUUAACAUAGCCGGGACUUGGUUUAAUCGACAUAACAGUCCUCUAAUUCACUGUUUCCCUCAGUUCUUCCACCUCUCAUAGAUUCUAGGCCAUGACCAAGUUAACUUGUGUUUGGGAUAGGCCUCUUGUUCAUAGCUGCCUGCUUGAAUGAUCCAGUUAAUCUGGAUUUGCAUAUUGGUGAGAUUCAACUUCUUGUCUCCAAAUUUGAUAGCACACGAACUCCUUUAAAUCCUUCAACAAACUAUAAUUUGGCUAAUCUGCAGCAAUGAUUUUUUCCUCUUCAUGUUUAAUUGCCUCUAUUAGUGGUUAUUAGUAUUGAUUCCCACCGUCUGACUAGUGUGAAUCACAGUGGGCUUAGAGACUCUUGACGCUUGAUUUCUUUCCUUGCUUAAUGAUGUUAGAUGUGAUGCAUAUGGGCAACAUGCAAAGUUAGAUUAACAUAGACGGACUAUGCAAGCAGCAAUCUGCUAGUGGUGAUCAAUCAAACUAUGGGCAUUGUGAGAAUUAAGCAGGGUCGGCUUAAUGGAAUCUGUGGCAAUUUUUUAUUUUUCAUAUGUUGUUCUUUUCACUUCAAAGACGAGUGUGCAUUUUGCUUCUCACUCUUCAAGCCUCAUGGACAUUUUUUGCUUUAAGAAAUACUGAAUAUUAGUGAAUUGUGUUUUUCUAGGAAAUUUUAAUUAUGUUGGUAUAAAAUGAUGGAAAUUUUGAUGAUUGAAAAGUUGUACCAUGCUAUAGGCCCUGGAGGUGAUUUGCGAAUUUAUUUGGAAGAGUUAUUAAAAGCCGAACAUGUACAGAAAUACGUAGAGCAACAUCCAUUUGGUCAGCGGGCAAUUGAUCAAACAAGCUCAGACUGGAACUUCUACUCUGAUGUUCUUUCCAGUCUGCUUGGUCAAUCAGGCUUAGAUUCCUGAUCUGCCCUUGUAUAAAAUACGUGUGAUAGAGACUUGCUGUUUAACAUUUUGGGGUGAUCUUGUUUGUGGAGCUGAGACUUGCUUUCAUACUUUUGGCAAAUUUUGAGCGGAUGACAGAUCUGAGCUGUUCAACAAUCAAGACAAAUGUGGACUGCUGCUCACCGGUCUGAGCUGUGCAACAAUCAUGACAAAUGUGGACUGCCGCAGCUAGAAUAUUUUCGAGGUCAUAGGCGGUCUUAUCCUGAGCAGGGUCUUCAUUAAUUGUUUCGCUUGUUAUCUUGCAACAUUAUCCAGUUAAAAUUCUUGAUUUGAUUCCUCCCCAUCUCUAGUAUUUGGGGCAACAUUGUUUUUGUAGCCUAGACUGUUACUCCCCCUGCUGAUUUUGUAAUAUUAUAUGCUUAUUUUCAUGAUAUACUCGUUACCCUGUCUUAUUUUGUGGCAGUGGUGAUUUUGUAGCUUCGGAUUGGGAAUGAAUGAAUUCUUUUGCAAGAAAGCAAGAAAACAAAGUUCUUGUUCAUGCUACUGUGGCUAGUUUAUUGAUCAGAAGCAGCUCCCAUACAAAGUUUAAAUGAAUGGAAAUAGAGACUAGCCCAUCCACCAAGUAUUUUUUAUAAGAAGAAUCAGCAAACUCUGCAUUAUACAUUCUUGCAUCCCUCAAUUACUCUCACAUAUAUUCAUGUUCUGCGUUGAGGUUAACACCAGCAUAGCAGAACUGCUGGAAUUUGUCUUCAACUUCAAUAGGAAGUACAUACAGAUCACUCUAGAUGUGGGGUUCCUUUUAUUUAUUUCCUAUUUCUUUUCAGUCUGGAUGCAUGAAGACCCACUAAAAAGAAAAAAAAAACAUGUAAAGUUUUAAUCAAGAAACACAUUUACAUAGGUUCAAGACGCAACUAAUGAUAGUACACACCUCGAUAAAUCAAGUGCAAAAGCGUCCCUCUCAGCUCUCUCAAUCUAUACUAUAUUAAAGGAAAAAUUUUAGAAAUAACAACUAUAAAGUUUUAAUUAUAAUUUUUAUAGCAAUAGUUUCAUAAUUACGAAAAUAGCAAAUAGUAUUUUGUAUUUAAGUAAACUAUUGCUAUACAAAUACAUAUACAACAAGAUUUCUUUUACUCAAUUUAGUUUAGUUAAAUAAGGAAUAAUUAUUUCAUCUAAUUAAAUUUCCAUAAAUUACUCUUAUUUAAAUUAAAAGAUUCUUUUUUCAAAUCAAACUCAAAUAUAAAGAUUAUUAUUUCCAUGACCUUCAAAAUUCAAAAUAUCAUUUUCUUAUAUCUCUAACUAUGUUUUCUUGUUAGUUUUUUCAUUUUUUUUAAUUUUUUUUUUCUUUUCCAUUUUUUCCUUUCCACUUUAUUUUCGCUCUUCUACUUCUCUUCUUUUAUUUAUUUAUUUNNNNNNNNNNNNNUUUUUUUUUCUUUUUUCCCUUUUCUCAUAUUUUUUUUUGUUUUCUUCUUCUUUUUAUUUUUUACUUUUUUUACUUUUGUUUUUACACUUCUAUUUCUAUUUCUUCUUUUUUUCCCUUUUCACUUAUUUUUUUUAAUUUUUUUUUUAACUCUUCUAUCUCUAUCUUUUAUUUUUAAAAGAUAAAUAUCUAUAUCAUAUAUACAUAUUCAAAAAAUAUACAAAAUAAAUAAACAUACAGAUCUGUAUAUGUAUUUACGGUAAAAAACAUAUAUAUAUAUAUCUGCAUAUGUAUUUACAGAAAUACAUAUCUGACUCAUAUGUAUAUAUAAAUAUAUAGGACACAAUUUCUAUAACAAAAAUGAUGAUCAUAUACAUAUACAUAUAAGUAAUAAAAAAAUAUAUGAUACAUAUCUUAAAUUGUAAAAAAAAAAUAAAUAAGUACAUAUGCUACCCUCACCAAAUUUUGUCCAUCCCAAAACCCAAGUCAUCCAUUUUUACCUCGCGUUAUUAUACACCCUCAUCCAUGUGAUUAUACCCCACAAAAAUACAAAAAUAACCAUAAUCCAUAACAAAUUGAGUCCUAGCAAAUUUUAUCUCAACCAACUCACACCCCUCACCCUACCCUACCUACCCCUAGCCCCACCUCAGCCCCCUCCCCUUCAUAUUUUUCUCGUUUUUCCAUAACAGAACAAAAAUAGGGUGGGACCCACAGAAAGCUUCCUCACAAUUCCACCACUGAAAUGAAGUAUAUACACACUCCACACGAUAUGCUCCCCAUAUAUUCCUCCACUGAAACACAACAUCGACAUACACAAAAAGACCUCAUGCUCCACUUUUUCCAUUCAACAAACACACUCACAAUAACACACGCUGACCCACCCAAAAACACACGAAAAUUUGCCGUCAUCUUCCAUUUUCUCCAACUAUACAGCAAAAGGAAUACAUACACAAGAGAAGAUACACACACAAACUAGUGAAAGAAAACAGGGAGAGAACACUCGAUUCUCUUCAUUCUCAUACCCACGCACACACAGUGAGAUCGAGAGGAAGGGAGAAUAGAGAGAGGGGGAAGAGUAACACAGAGAGAGAGCAACAAAGAGAGAGAGGUGACGGAGUGAGAGAGAGAGUAACGAAGAGGAUGAAGUGAGAGAGUUUGAGAGAGAAGGAAUCGACCAGAGAUCGAGUUUUCCGGCCAUUCUUCACCGGAAAUCACUUCACCCGUUCCGAUUUCACUUCGAAAUUCACUGGAAAACUCGAUUAAACCCAUCUCCGUCGCCGAAAUCAGAACCAGCUGCUUGAAUCGGCCUGAAAUCAGCCUGUUCGGGUUGAUUCCGGUCUGUUUAGGUUGAAUCCGGCAACGUUCGAAUUGAUUCCGGCGACAAUUGGUGCGCGAAUCUCGUUCGUUUCGCAGUUCUUGCUUUUGAAUAUUCGUCUGUCUCUUCGCGAAUUUCGUAUCUGAAUCGGAUUCCGGAGAUUUUCAUAGCUGGUUCGUAGUCGAGAUUGUGGUACCCGUUGUGGUUAUUGGACGCAGGUUCUACCAGGUUUAAUCGAAAUAAUACACCCGAAGUAAUACAUCAAUUUUUGAAAGAGUCGUCUUUUUUCUUUAAUUUUUAGGUAAUCGUGAAUAAUUUGUGUUUGCUAUGUUUGAAUCGUGAUUGUGUAUUGAUUGAUGUUGGAUUUGAACGUGGAAACUUGAAUUGGUAGUCGAAGAAUUGAUUAAUUAUUUUGUGAAUGGAUGUGGGAAGGGAUUGUUCUCUAUAAAAGUAAAUUUGGAUAAAUUUUGAUUCAUUGAUGAUGUUGAACGUGAUAGAAUCAUGAUAGAUCGAAUUGGAUAGGUAAAUAGUAGGUUCGGGUCGGGGAAUUUAAAACUUGUGGAUUGCUGAAUGUUCAAAAUGUUUGUUGAAUGGUUUUAUUUUAUAAAUUUGGAUCAAUUGUACUUAUUUGGUCGGGGAAUGCCCCAAAGGAAGUUGUAUUUAUUCACCGAAAAAUAUUCCGAUGUAUUAUGUUUUCAUGUUUUCAAAGGAGGUUCGUGAUCAAAGCUCGAGGCACCGGAUAAAGUACAGGAGCGUAGUUUAGGAUUAGUGUAGGUUAGUGUAAGUAUAUGUUUUUGGUAGUUUUUUAUUUUGGGACUGUAUAAUUGGACUGAACAAUAUAUUUUAGAUUUGUUUUUUUUUUUGUGUUUGAUUGAUUGUUUUAUGUGUUUUGUGUGGUUUAUACAUUCGUAAUGUCAAAUUAGCCGAUACGCUUCACAAGCGAUCGUGGUUGAAUCACGGGAUCGAGGGGUGUGUAACACCUUCCCCUCGGUCAACAGAAUUUCUUAGUUGGAAUCUCUGUUCGCAAAUCAGUUUUAAAGAGUUAAAAACAGUUUUAAAAAUGGAUUUCUAAAGGUGAGUUGGCACACCCGAUUAUGUCAAGUGGCGACUCUGAGUUGAUUAUAAAAAUGAAUUCUUUUCGAAAUAAUUUUUAUUUUGUCACGUUAAUAAUAAAAUUCCUUUCAAACUUUAAAAUUAAUAUUUUGGUGUAAAAAAGUGGUGUGACAGCUCUAACGAUUUCGUUGAGGAUUUUUUAGAAUUUGAGCUUAUUUUGGAGUCGUAUCGGCUUAGUUUGACACUAUAGAUAUAUAGACAUUUUGUUUGUAUUAUUUCGUGUUAUUGUUUAUCAUUGUUGAGUGCCUACGUGCUCUUUGUUUAUAAUUUUUAUCUUAUGUGUUACCGCUUUAUAUCUGGCAUCACGUGCAUAACUCGAGUCAUGCUUUCUGCAACGAGUCUGUAGCACACGUGUAUAUACGACCUUUAGUUGAGUCACCCUUAUUUUAGGAGGGGGAGUCAUUGGGUUGUAUGGAGUAGGUCGAAAGCUGUCGUAGCCACUAUCGAUCAUACGCUCCCCCGAAAAACCUUGUUAGUUAACCCAGCGUAGGUCAGCCUUUAGGUCAUGCUUAUGUACAUCAUAUUGAGACCUAGCAAGACCUACUUGGUCCUUUGUAGGAGAAUCACUUCUAAAGUAUCUCUACGUGCUAAAUGUUGCAUCUUUGAGGGUAAUGUGGUCAUUUGACGAAUUGAUUUAGGGAAAGCAGGUGUUAGAAGUAAAGUGUGUAGACAAGAAAUUGUUAGAAAAAAAAAAGAGAAAAAAGAGAGAAAAAGAAAAGGUGAAUGAAGAAAAAAGAGUUUCGUAGUUGUUUAGAGUUUUUAUGGCAAAAUGGUCAAAAGCCCCCCAACCUUUACCCCAAGUCCUAACUACACACUCAGCUUUUAAAUGUGACUUAUUACCCCCUGAACUAUUUUAAAAUAGAAUUAUUAUCCCUGUGAACUAUUUUAAAAAGGAAUUAUUAACCCCUGAAAACUGACAACCAGUCAUUUGAAAUGUAGUGUGAUGCACGCGCUGCCACAUCAUGUCACGUCAUUUUCACGUUUUUUUUUUUUUACUCUAAAAAAAAUUAAUUAUUUAACUUUAUUAUUUUCUUUUUUCUUCCCCAUUUUUCAUUUUGCUCCAUUUUCUUCUUCAACCAAUUUCAUCUUCUUGGGUCAAAAAUAGAAUUCUUGAAAAAAAAUGGCGGAUUAAUGAAGUUCUUGAAUGACGGAUUAAUGAAGUUCUUCAACCCAAUUUUAUCUCCUUUUGCUCAAGAUUGCCAUUAAUGGCGAAUUCUUUCCCACUGUGGAAAUUCAAAAUUUUGAGCUCGCCAUUAAUGGCGGAUCUUGAGCAAAAAUAGAGAAAAUCGGAGAAAUAGGUUGAAAAUUAUAUGUGGGUUAUGUUGGAAAUUAUAUAUGGCAUUGUGGAAAUUAGAAGUUUUGAGCUUGCCAUUAAUAACGAUUUUGAGCAAAAAGAGAAGAAAUCGAAGUUCUUGAAUUUUUUUAAGCUUUUUGAAUCGGAGUUCCCAAACUUCUUCAUUCAAGAAUUCAUUAAUCGGAGAAAUUUUAUUGUUUCCUUAGUUCAAGUGUUCCUUGGUUUUGGAGAAAUUCAUUAAUGAGGAAGACGAGGAACUCCAUUAAUGAGUUCUUGAAUUUUUGCUUUGAAAAAGAGAAGAAGAAGACGUGACGUAGCAAUUAGAAUUCAUUAAGAAAAAGUUAUAAUUAAAAUAUUUAUUAUAUUAUUAAAAAUAAUGAUGUGACAAUCAGAAAAUAAAGAAUUUAAAGUGAAAUGGGAUCAACUGACGCUCCCAUGGGCGGGUGUAGUCACGUCCAGUGAUAGGUCAGCAAUUGGGGGAUAAUAAAUUCAGUAAAAAUAAG